This 88664-nucleotide long non-coding RNA is filed under the name Citrus maxima (pomelo). Its description in RNAcentral is "long non-coding RNA (CMAX_LNC000293)". Lineage: Eukaryota; Viridiplantae; Streptophyta; Magnoliopsida; Sapindales; Rutaceae. The record is from RNAcentral.
UGAAAUGCAUGGAUACAAAGGAUGCUUGGAAACAGAGAGGACUGCUCUGUUGGAAAUCAAGAGCUUCUUCAUAUCAGUCAGUGAUAUUGGAUAUGAUGACAAAAUUCUUCCUUCAUGGGUUGGGGAGGAUGAUGGAAUGCCGUCUGAUUGUUGUGAUGAUUGGGAGGGAGUUAAGUGCAACGUCACCACACGACGUGUGAUGCAACUCUCACUCAAUUAUACAGAGAGAUUGAAUUAUUAUGAUGGAACUUCGGCUUCGCUUCUGAAUAUGUCAUUGUUUCAUCCUUUUGAAGAAUUGCAAAGUCUUGACUUAUCUGGGAAUGGGUUUGCAGGCAUCUAUGAGAAUAGAGGUCCGUAUAUAUGUAUACAUUUAUUUCUCGUCCAUAAAUAUUUUGUCAGUGACUAAUUAAUAAUAACACUUCAUAUGCAUUUGCAGCUUACGAUAGCUUUGGGAGUUUGAAGCAGCUGAAGAUGUUAAAUCUUGGUUUUAAUGACUUUAACGACAACAUAUUACCAUAUUUGAAUACACUAACUUCACUUACCACCUUGAUCCUUAAUUGGAAUUCCAUUGAAGGUUCCAGAACCAAGCAAGGUAUAUACAUAUACGUUCCAGAACCAAGCAAGGUAUAUACAUAUACUUUCUUAAUUAAAAUAUAUAUUUAUAUUGUCUUGAUCAAAAUUAAUGUUUUCUGAGCAGGAUUAGCAAAUUUGACAUACUUGCAAGUGUUGGAUCUAAGCUGGAACGCCGAUAUGACUAGUGGCUCUUUAACAAGGCUAGGUAGGCUACUGAGAUAACUACCAAGUUAGCACACUAAUCACAACCUUCUACAAUAAUUUUAAAAGUAAUAUUUUGCUUUUCAUUGGUGUAGGAUUGGCAAAUUUGACAAACCUGAAAAAAUUGGAUCUUGCUCACUGUGGAAUAACUACAAUUCAAGGUACACGGCAACAAGUCACUACCCAAAUUCCUUGUGAUAUUAUUAUGGCCUUAAUUUUUACAGAUGCAUAAUGUCAAAUUAAAACCAAUUUUUUACUGGAAAACUUGACAAACUUGACUACAAUUGGUACACAGCAAAAAUUUACUUUCUAAUUUCUUAGUAAAAUUUAAAAAAAAAAAAGAAAAAAGAAAACCAUUUUUGAGUAUAUGAUCAAUUUAAUUAGAUCUGAAUCAAAAGCUUUAUUACUACAAUUAUUUAAUCUAACUUUGAAAUUUGUUUCUUAAUCUUAAUUCUUUUUUUUUCCAAAGAUGAUUAAUAAAAUUUUUCUUCUUUCUUGGUAUAGGAUUAGCUAAAUUAAAAAACUUGGAAGCGUUGGAUUUGAGUUCUAAUUAUUAUAUACACGGUUCUUUAGAAGGUAAUUUUUUUAAUUAAAUAAUUUACACAGUUAAUUUUCAUUCAAUAUUUACCAUAUUAUUUUAAUUAAACAAUUUAGACGAGAGUGACAUAACUGUUAUUGACAAAAUUUAUGUUUUUUUUAACAGGAUUAGCAAAUUUGACAAACCUGCAAGUGUUGGAUUUAAGCUAUAAUCAAAAUUUGACAACGCUAGGUAAGCCACUAAAUCUGAGAUAAGAAGCAAAUUAAAUGUAGAAUUAAUGUUCAUCAAACGCGCGGAUCACAUACAAUGCCUUUAAAUGUAAUAUUUUCAUUUUUUAUCAGCGCAUGUAGGAUUCGCAGAUUUGCCAAACUUGAAAACAUUGGAUCUUGGUAAUUGUGGGAUAACUACAAUUCAAGGUAUAUAACAAUUCACUUCCUCCAAUGAUAAAAAUUGUUUUAGAUGUUAAUCAAGAUGAUAAUAUAUUUCCAUUUUUUUAAUUGCUUUUUUCACAUUUUCAAGUUUACUAAAAGUGCAAACUCAUUUACAAAUUAUGAUUCAAACACUCCAAAUCUUGGUAAUGCUAAAAGUGACGGUAUAUAUUAAAAUAUCAAUAGAAACAAAAAAAAUUAACAAUUUGCACAGUUAAUUUCAUUCAAUAUUUACCAUAUUAUUUUAAUUAAACAAUUUAGACGAGAGUGACAUAACUGUUAUUGACAAAAUUUAUGUUUUUUUUUUAACAGGAUUAGCAAAUUUGACAAACCUGCAAGUGUUGGAUUUAAGCUAUAAUCAAAACUUGACAACGCUAGGUAAGCCACAAAAUCUGAGAUAAGAAGCAAAUUAAAUGUAGAAUUAAUGUUCAUCAAACGAGCGGAUCACAUACAAUGCCUUUAAAUGUAAUAUUUUCAUUUUUUAUCGGCGCAUGUAGGAUUCGCAGAUUUGCCAAACUUGAAAACAUUGGAUCUUCAUUAUUGUGGGAUAACAACAAUUCAAGGUAUAUAACAAUUCACUUCCUCCAAUGACAAAAAUUGUUUUAGAUGUUAAUCAAGAUGAUAAUAUAUUUCCAUUUUUUUAAUUGCUUUUUUCACAUUUUCAAGUUUACUAAAAGUGCAAACUCAUUUACAAAUUAUGAUUCAAACACUCCAAAUCUUGGUAAUGCUAAAAGUGACGGUAUAUAUUAAAAUAUCAAUAGAAACAAAAAAAAUUAACAAUUUGCACAGUUAAUUUUCAUUCAAUAUUUACCAUAUUAUUUUAAUUAAACAAUUUAGACGAGAGUGACAUAACUGUUAUUGACAAAAUUUAUGUUUUUUUUUUUAACAGGAUUAGCAAAUUUGACAAACCUGCAAGUGUUGGAUUUAAGCUAUAAUCAAAAUUUAACAACGCUAGGUAAGCCACAAAAUCUGAGAUAAGAAGCAAAUUAAAUGUAGAAUUAAUGUUCAUCAAACGUGCGGAUCACAUACAAUGCCUUUAAAUGUAAUAUUUUAAUCUUUUAUCGGCGCAUGUAGUAUUCGCAGAUUUGCCAAACUUGAAAACAUUGGAUCUUCGUUAUUGUGGGAUAACUACAAUUCAAGGUAUAUAACAAUUCACUUCCUCCAAUGACAAAAAUUGUUUUAGAUGUUAAUCAAGAUGAUAAUAUAUUUCCAUUUUUUUAAUUGCUUUUUUCACAUUUUCAAGUUUACUGAAAGUGCAAACUCAUUUACAAAUUAUGAUUCAAACACUUCAAAUCUUGGUAAUGCUAAAAGUGACGGUAUAUAUUAAAAUAUCAAUAGAAACAAAAAAAAUAACAAUUUGCACAGUUAAUUUUCAAUCAAUAUUUACCAUAUUAUUUUAAUUAAACAAUUUAGACGAGAGUGACAUAACUGUUAUUGACAAAAUUUAUGUUUUUUUUUAACAGGAUUAGCAAAUUUGACAAACCUGCAAGUGUUGGAUUUAAGCUAUAAUCAAAAUUUGACAACGCUAGGUAAGCCACUAAAUAUGAGAUAAGAAGCAAAUUAAAUGUAGAAUUAAUGUUCAUCAAACGAGCGGAUCACAUACAAUGCUUUUAAAUGUAAUAUUUUUAUUUUUUAUCGGUGCAUGUAGGAUUCGCAGAUUUGCCAAACUUGAAAACAUUGGAUCUUCGUUAUUGUGGGAUAACUACAAUUCAAGGUAUAUAACAAUUCACUUCCUCCAAUGACAAUAAUUGUUUUAGAUGUUAAUCAAGAUGAUAAUAUAUUUCCAUUUUUUAAUUGCUUUAAACUAGAUCAAAUUUAAAUUAGAAGCACUGCUUUCUUUACAAAGUUUAGUACUUGACAUACUCUAUCACCAAUUUCCGACAUAACCCGCUCAUUUCUUUCACUCUCUCUUAAUUCUAAAUCUUUUUUAUAAAAAAAUCAACAAUGAUAUUUAUCUUUAUUUCAAUAUUUAUAAUUCUGAAUGAAUUUUUUUUUUCUUAUGUUCAUUAAUUCUUGAUGCAUGACUAGCUAAAUUCAAAAGCUUGGAAGCAUUGAAAUUGAGUUAUAGUAACAUAAACAAUUCUCUAGAAACCCAUAUUAAAUAAUUUACACUGUGUUUUUAUGUUGAAACAUGAUAAAUAAGAGCCCAAUAUUGUUUUCUAAUUGUUGUUUUCAAAAAUAAAAAUGAAAAUGCUAUUUUUAAAAUUUAAAAAUGUGUUCAGUAUCAUUUUCAAAAAUAAUCUCAAAAAUGAGAAAAAUAAAAAUAUGUUUGGUAAGAAUAUCUCAAAGAAUUAUUAUUGGAAUAAUUUCCAUAAACUUAAGAUUAAGCAAUGUAUAUUGAUUAUUUUAAUUUUAAGAAUAAAUUAGGUGAUCUUUCUAUUUUUUUGUUCAAAGAAAAAUGAUAAACCCUACAAAUUUGAUUUAGUUAUUAUAUAAAAACAUAAAUAUUAUAAUGUAUAUAAAAAGAAAAGAUUAUUGUGAGGGAAAUUGAUUCUUUGGGUACAACAACAACAACAACAAUAAUAAUAAUAAUCUCUAGGUGACAUAAGUUUUCACAAAUUUUAAGAAGAUGACACAUUUUAAAAAAAUAUUCGAGUGAGUGACAUUCUAUUAACUUUUGCCAUUAAUUUUAAUAAGAUUAGUAAAUUAAAUGACAUUUCUACCCCACAAAAUGAUGUUUCUGCCCAUACUCACUCAUUUUUAAUUUUUUAAAUAGAAAAUUAUAAAAAAAUUAAACCUAGGUCUAAUUAACAGGUUUUUUUUGUUAAAUCAAAUAAUAUUUUUUUUUAAAAAAAUUUUGUUGAAUCAAACUGAUUUGUGAAUAUAAAGAAGCAAAAAUCUUAUGAAUUGUAAAGUAUUGUAUAAAUUCAAAAUUUUCGUCUCUUUGGCUUUAUGAAAACAAAAGUCUAUUUUUUUCCAAUUCUACUCUCGACUGGUUAAAAUUAACAGUAAAAGUUAAUGGAAUGUCACCUACUCGAGUGUUUUCAAAACAUGUGUCAUCUUUUUGAAAUUUAUUAAAACAUGUGUCACCCAGGGAUAAUUAGACCUAAUGAUAAUAAUAAUAAUAAUGUUGAUAUUAUUAUUAUUUCAGGAGGAGGUAAAGAGAAUUCUUCAUUUUGGAACUUAAUAUUGUAUUGGAAAAUAAGGAAAAUAAGAUAAAGUUGUUUCUCAUUUCUUUUGUUAAAAUGUGUGGAAUGAAUUUUAUAUUUUUAAAAAUAUUUCAGAAACAAUCUACCGAACACAUAUCUAAUAUUUUCUAAAUUCAAAAAAUAAAAAACAGCAUAUAAAAACAAUGCCAACGCACCCAAUAUUUGCAUUACUGAUACACAAUUCCUACUUCCCAGUGACUUGUUGGUCAAAGUACUUUGACCAAAUUAAAUAUGAAGACCAGUUUUUUUUUUUCCCCGCUUGGGCAAAUAGAUUUUUUUUUUUUAAUGCUAUGAGAAGAAUAAAUAAAGUUUAAGAAAGCAACUAAUAUAUUAUGAGUUUCUCUUUACAUUAUCCAACAAAUUUAGAGAUUAGAAAACCAAUAUCCAACGAAAAAGACGAAGUCAACAAACUCUUCCGCAGAAAAUCAUUAUUUUAAACAACGAGAAUUGCUGAAACACUUUUUGAAUGGAUUAUGAUGAGCAAGAAUUGCUGACUACUUUUAUGUUAUUAUUAUUAUUAUUAUUAUUAUUAUUAUUAUUAUUAUUGUUAGAUUAAUUGAAACGCUUUUGCAAUCAACAUCAUAUUAUAUGAGAAAUAAAUUCAUAUCAUUCUAUUAUUAUUUAUGUUGACCAAAAUACUUAGACAAUUUGAUUUCAUGUCCGUUUUAUAAGUCUUAUAUUGGGUUUAUGAUUGAAUGCGCUAUAAUUAGUUUUCGUUUUAUGAAAUCUGAGCUUUUUAUUUUCACUUUCAGGAAUAUGUAAUUUGAAGAAUCUUCUUGAGUUGGAUUUAAGCUCAAAUAAUUUUGAGGGUCAUCUUCCUCAGUGUCUCAACAACUUGACUCAUCUCAAAGUUCUUGAUAUUUCGCACAAUCAGUUAAGUGGAAACUUUCCUUCUGCCUUGACCAACCUCACAUCACUUGAAUAUUUGGAUCUCUCUUUCAUCGAUUUCCAAGGAACAUUCUUAAUCAAUUCAUUGGCUAAUCAUUCAAAGCUUGAGGUCUUGCGACUCUCGUCAGGAAACAAUAUGUUGCAAGUGAAAACCAAAAACUGGCUCCCCACAUAUCCUCUCAAGGUUCUCCAAUUAUCUCACUGCCACUUAAAUGUCAAUAAUAGUUUUCUUUUACACCAACACCACUUAAAAUUCCUUGAUCUCUCUCACAAUCAGUUGGUUGGCAAUUUCCCAACUUGGUUGUUGCAAAACAACACAGGAUUAGAAGUUUUGAUUUUGUGGAAUAACUCAUUCUCAGGAAUUCUUCCGCGACUUCCCAAUGCCAAAUACGAUAAGCUUCGUUAUCUAGAUAUUUCCACUAACAAUUUCUCUGGUAAGCUACCAGAGAAUUUGGGUAUUGUCUUUCAGAAAUUGAUAUAUUUGGAUAUGUCAAAAAAUAGUUUUGAAGGUAAUAUUCCUGAUUCAAUCAGUGAGAUGAAAGAGCUAAUUACUUUGGAUUUGUCUGAAAAUAAUUUUUCAGGAGAAUUACCUCAGUCUAUAUUCUCUAGUUGCCUCUCCUUAGAUAAGUUCGACCUAUCAAAUAACAAUUUCUAUGGCCAGCUUUUUCCCAAUUAUAUGAACUUGACUUAUUUGAGUUUGUUAUAUUCGAACAACAAUCAUUUCAGUGGGAAAAUGACAGAUGGUUUGUUGAGCUCCACUUUGCUAGAGGUAUUAGAUGUAUCCAACAACAAGUUAUCCGGCGAUAUUCCCCACUGGAUUGGCAACUUCUCACGCCUUCGGGUUCUUUUAAUGUCAGAAAAUUAUUUGCAAGGUAGUAUUCCGGUCCAGCUCGGCAAUCUUGAAAGUCUUGGGUUUAUAGACAUCUCUGAAAAUAGUUUGUCUGGGUCCUUGGUAUCUCUCUCCAAUCAUUCAUCAGUGGGGCACAUUUAUCUGCAUAACAAUGCAAUUAAUGGGUUAAUUCCAAUUGCAUUGCUUAGAAGCUCUACAUUAUUGACUCUCGAUUUGAGGGGCAAUAAACUUUUUGGUCAGAUUCCUCAUCAGAUCAAUGAGCUUUCGAAUUUGCGUGUUCUUCUUUUGAGAGGGAAUUAUCUACAAGGACGUAUUCCUAAUCAGUUGUGCCAAUUAAGAAAAUUAGGUAUCAUGGAUCUUUCACAUAACAGACUUAAUGGGCCGAUACCUUCAUGCUUGGGUAACGUGUCAUUUUGGAGAGAAGCGAUUGAUGAUUAUUCAUAUGGAUUCGGAUUUGCUAUCCCAAAUCGUGUUUUCAGUUUUACUUACUACAAUUCCACUCUUGAUCCGCAGCCGCGAGGUGAACGACAUGAUAGAGUAGAUCAACAAGUAGGUGUAGAAUUUGUGACGAAGUAUAGAUAUGAAUUUUUCAUCGGUCGCAAUCUCGACGACAUGGCUGGACUGGAUUUGUCGAGCAAUGAGUUCAGUGGAGAAAUUCCAUGGGAAAUUGGGCAUCUUCAACAUAUUCGUGCACUUAAUCUGUCGAAUAAUUUACUAUCAGGUGCUAUACCAGAGAGCUUCUCCAAUCUGAAAAUGAUAGAGAGCCUGGACCUUUCCCGCAACAAAUUAAGUGGCCGAAUUCCUCCUCAACUAACUGACCUCAACUUUUUAUCAAACUUCAACGUGUCAUACAACAAUUUGUCCGGCCCAAUCCCAGACAAAGAGCAGUUUGCCACCUUUGAUGACAGCAGUUAUAAAGGUAAUUCGGCUCUUUGUGGCUCAAUGAUAAAGAGGAAAUGCAGCAGUGCAUUGGCACCACCAGCGACACCUACAGGAGGAGGAGAAGAUGAAGGCGAUUCUGUGAUUGAUAUGGUGGCAUUAAGAUGGAGUUUUGGAGCAUCCUAUGUGUCAGUGAUUUUGGGCUUAUUUGCAGCACUUUGGAUAAACUCGUACUGGCGCAGACUGUGGUUCUAUUUCAUUGAUAGAUGUAUUGACACAUGCUACUAUUGGCUUUUCAAAUAUGUUUUCCAUCCGUGAUUGACACAUGCUACUAUUGGCACAUACGGUUCUGCCGUGUAUAACUUAUCGUGAUGUAUUAUGUAUCCGUUGGCUUUUCUCCAAACAGCUACGUAUCCAUGUAUGUGUUUGUUCAAAUUCUCAAUCUGGUUCCAAAACUACACUCAUGUUUCCAAUUUCGUUUAAUUGGUUGCAUUACGGCUUCUUCUUCAGUUUCUGUUGGUUGCAAAUUUAAAUUUAAUAAGGAAUUUUGCCAACUACUACGUUAGUUGUAAUAUCAUCAGUGCAGCAACUUCAACUGCAAAUUUAAGCUAUCAGUGGGUCAAUUCAACUCCAUUCCGAAUGUAUUGUUCACACGCACCAACCAAGUACCAAAUAAUUUGAGGCAUAAUUAACAACAAAUCUCAGUCUAAAACAUUAAAACCCAUUAUAGAAUAACAUCACAGAUCUCUUGAUGAGGAAAAUCGCCCAAUUAAUUUAUCAUUUAUUGAUCAAAACAAAAUCUCUUAACAAAACAAGAAACCGAUUUGUACAAAUAUUAUAUUAGAACAUCCAGAAAGGAUAUCUAAAAUGAUACAAUCAGGUAUUGAUUAAAACUUGCUCCAAAUUUUAACUAUUUUUGCAACGGUAACAUUCACUAACAAAUUUUUCGAAUAAAAUUGGGAGAAAUAGGACGGCACCUUUGCAUUUUAUUGCUUUGCUCUCUCUUUUAACGAACAGAAGCACAGAUGGAUUGAUGAUUGUACAUCUCAGUUACCCCAUUUGUGAUCUGCUGUCGGUUUCUUCUCCGUUUUCUGACAACUAUAAAUCCUUCACCAUCCCACUUUUUUGGUUUGCAUCUUUGGGUUUUUGCUGUUCUUGAUCAUUAGACUGAGAUGCCAAGUUUGUUUUGCCCUUUUCAUUUCCAUAAAGGAUCUUUAUGAUAGCACUAUCAUUUGCAAUUGCAUCUGAAGAAUUUUCUGAAUACCCAAUCUCCUUUUCAUAGCCUGAAGAUUGACUUGGAGCAUCCAUAUUAUGCUGGACUGACUUUACAAUGAAGCUAAGUAGUAUCUGUCUUGCCAGCUCUGACUUCUCGGCCUCUGUACUGCUCUUUCUUGAGGUAUUAUCUUCGCCUUGAAUACUGGACAUUUUGUCAAGCUUCUCAUCUUCUGCCUCACUUGUGUCAUUUGAAGAGUUUGACUCAUUUGAAACAUUUGAAUCUGCACUUCCAGGAUUUAUUUGCCAACCUCUCAUUGGCACAAACUCGGGUGCAUGCGGGUUCAUGAUUCUUGAAGGCCCCGACAGGUUUCUUUCCAUAAUGGAAGAGUGGUAUUUUGGAAAUCCAUGUUUCAUCAUGUAAGAAUAAUUAUUUCUAUAAUAGAGAGGCGACCUUGGCCCACAAGGAACUCUAGCAGCAGCCGAAGGUACAGCAGGUUCUGCAAGCAUACCUUGACUAGUUCUCGCAUCAUAAAUGCUCGUGGCUGCUACAGAGUUUAGCAGAUGAGUCAUGGAGACAGCUCCCGGGUUGAAUGGUUCAGCUGUGGCAGAAAGCUUACUCCCAUUUGUUUCCAUGGGCUUUUCCUCGUUAGAAGAAGCAGGAACUUCCUUGGUAUCUGCAGCAGUAGUUUCAGAUUGAGUUACACUUCCAUGAGUUUCUUGAGACUGACCAUCAACUGGCGCAUCUUCAACUGGAGAGAAAUGGUUAUUCAACUCCGCCUUUGAUGUCUCAGGAGCAUUACUGCACAUCUGUGUUUCAGUUUUUUCUUCAAUUUCUUCAUCAGGUUUCUCUGGUAAUGGCUUUAGAACCGUACCUGGUGGUGCCACAGCUACUUCUUUGUAAGACAGCAACUUGGAAGCCAUGGCAGUAAGGUUUGGUGGACUUGCAUAAACUUUGGAGACAGAAGCUUUUGCCUGCAGUUUAAUUGAAUCCUUUAUGCCUGUUAACUCAGUGGUGGUGGUCCUUGAAGCUUUUUCCCGUACUGGAGAUACAAUUUCCCGUCUAUUGCCUUUUUCUCUAAGAUUUGAAUGUUCACAACCAUUGACAUUUAGCUGUGUAAGAACAGGUCGCCUCCGGCUGAGCUUCCGAACAGCAGCAUUUCCGGACCUACCUUUUGGAUUGGCUUCUUGCCACCCCUCAUCUGAAUUUGUUUCUUCGACAAACUCACCUGAAAUUGCUGGUCCAUAUCUAGUAAUCAUUCUCUUCUGGCUCUUCGGGUUGAACACGGUCUUCUAUUACCUCCUCGGUCUUGCUUUCCACUAUAGCCAUACUUUUUUUCAAUCCAUCAUUGGGCAGUGCAUCUUCCACCAUCAUAUCAUGAUGUCCUCCAUGAAUCUUUUCCCUAAUCUGCAUUACCUGAAAAAAAUAAAUAAACCAAAAAAAGAAAACAAAACCUUUUUAACUUGUAUGCAUAUAAAAUGUCAAAAAUUGAGCAAAUAGAAAUAUUUCAUUUUAAGUUACAAUCAUCUUGUAAUUUUACAGUAGCAAAAUUUAUUACAACAAACCCAGACAUAACAUGAGGCAGAAUUCAGUGGAACAUAAAUGGGAAUUUGAUAUGUACAUGCCUGAAAUGUUGAAAAAAACACUCAGUGAGAAAUUAUGCUGAUAUAUAUUAUGUUAAACUAAUGAAAUUCUUCAGCCUUUUGAAUCAUGGAAUUCUCAAAAAAAAUAAUCACAGCGAAAUACUUUACUAUUGUCUUAAAUUGUCAACCAGGUAAUACUUCAAAUUAGCACAUAAUAAUCCUGUCUUUCUAAUAUGUAGUAUUAUUUGGUUCUCUAAGGCCUACAAAAUGGGGGGAAAAAAAAAAGGGAAAAACUCCAACUGCCAAAUCGAAAAAUGUUUUUCUAGAAUCAAUAAUAACAACCAUUAAAUAACAGUAGAAUGGAAGAACUCCAUCUCCUAGCCAAAAUGAUAGAUCUGUCAUAUCCAUCCAUUGCACUUCAAAUUAAUGGUUUCUUCUCACUCUGUUCAAGGUUACGGGGUAAAACAAAAACUAUCACUCGUUCUGCUCAUCAUCUCUGAAUUUCAAAAGAACUAGCAGCUUGACCAAGCAACCCUCCAUCAUUGCCUACUAACUAUCAGCUGGCCCAAUCUAUGGCCAUCAAUAGAUCAGAACCUUCUAAAGUUUCAAUCAUGUCUGUGAUCUAUAUAAGCAUGUUAGAUUUCUUUUUGUUGUUGUGGGGGGGGGGAGUGUGAUUCUAUGGUAGAAAUGGAUGUUUAUAUUUGGUGCCUUCAGAGUUCACUCAGAAAAGUAGAACUAUUAUCCAGCAAUAGUUAGUUGCAUUUUGCAUGGACAACAAGUUUACUCGUGUAAUCAGCAAAUCCAAAACUAUAUGCCAGCAGAGUGUACUCUAAAAUACCAAAUCCUAACUACAAUUAGUUUAAGAAUCCAUUCAGAUGGACAUCACAAGAAAAAAGGAACAGAGAACAGCAGCAUGCUUAAUGCUUCAUUUCACAUAGCUUUUCAAAUAGAUCUUAUCUGAGUAGAGUUCUGCUAGUAAAGUUUUUACUCAAAAAAAUUGUGUUGUUUGGUUGUCAAUAAGAGCUUUUAUUAAAAAUUAUAAAAUUACUUUAAUAAGCAAAUUUUUUAAAGUUAUGUUUUGAAAAGAAUAAAAUAAGAUUGUCAUAUAAAUAGAGAAUAUUUUAGAUAUUUUAACAUUUAAAAAAAUUUAACCUAUAUUCUCAAAAGCACAAAAUUUGAGUUUUUUGUAGUAGAGGCAAAAUAGUUUAUUUAAUUUUCAAGAGCUCUACUAAAAAAACAAUUAAACAACAAAAAAUUUUUUGAUAAGAGCUUAUAGGAUUAAAUAAAAAUUUAAGACCAUUAGAUAAGUCAUACUAAACAGGCACCAAGUAUGUACUACCUUUGCAUGUCGUUGUUUCCUAUGUGCUUCACUUCUUUUAGAAUCUUGACCAGGACUUAUGUAAUCCAGGAGAUCUGAUACACUGCGAAAAGAGAUCAUUAUAGGUCUUGGUGCCACAAGAAAUAAUCAACAAUUUAGAAACAAGUAAUGUGGGAAUACCCUGUUAAUACCUAAGGUGACCUUUACUCGCAAUGGACACAUCUGGCUUUGGAGUUCCAUUCCGUGCCGCUUCUUGCUGCUCUAGAGCUCUUGAUUCAAAAUACUCCAGCCAUGCAGCAGCAUCCUGUAAAACAAAAAACAAAAUACAACAAAAUAACAAAAAUCUCUUCCCAUCAAUAAUAUGGAACUUGAGAAAUUCUCUUAUGACAGUUAAGAUUAGAGGUAGCAAAAUGGAUUACGACACAAUUACACAACAUAAUACGACAUAUGACCCAUAUUUGUGUUAACAAAUAUUGACACGAUUAAUAAAUGAGUUGACACGACACGAUAAAUAACCAUGUCGUAUCUGUUUUGGACCAUCUCAACAUGAUUAUACGUUUAUAAAAUUAUGUGUUAAUAUUAUUGGAAAAAAAAAACUAAAAUAUAUACUAAUCACUAAAUUAAUGACUCAUGUCAUACUCAUAUUAUGUUAUAAACUUAUUCAUGUCAUACUUAUGUCAUUUUAACUUAUUUUUUUGACACAUUUGUUAUUUUUAAAUUAAUUUUUAAUUUGUUUGUAUUUAAUAUUAAACAAGUCAACACGAUUAAUAAACGGGUCAUAUCCGUAUUUUGAUAUUUCGAUACGAUUAAUGAAUGGGUCAUAUCCAUACUUAACACCAAAAUAGGCCGCCGAUACAAUAUGUUUUAUAUCAUAAUAUCACCUGUAAAAGAUUGACAAGAGAGAAGCCAACUAGCCAAAUUGCACAACAGAACCAAUUAAAAUAUGACUACAUGUAGUCACCUGAGUACGCAGAUCUUCUAGUCCAAGCUUUGGUUGGAGAAUCUUAAGUGUAGUUUGCUCAUGUUGCACACUUAGUGAAUAUGCCUCCAUCAAAGAAAGCUAUGGCUAUGGCAUGAUAACUUGCAGCUGUCUGUCACGUGAAGAAAUCAAACAAAAUGCUGAGUUUACAGAAAGAUAUAUAAGUCUAAAGAGUGUGUAUACAUGCGUAAAUAGAGAGAGAAAAACCUGUAUAUGGUCACCUCCUAAUAGUCUUUGGUUGCAUUUAAGGGCCUCAUGCAAAUAUCUAAGAGAAAGAUGAACAUUUCCCAUGCCCUCUUCCAUCAUAGCCACAUUUAUGUAUGUUGUAGCAGUGUUUGGAUGUGAAUGUCCACAAGUAAAAUGCAAAAGGAAUAAGGCACGAUUUACAUAUCUGCCAAUAGUAUGGUAUGAUCAGGAGCUAGAGCCAAUAAAAGACAAAUAAAAGCUAAAGUAGGUAGAUAAAAACUGCAUUAGUUCAAAGCAGAUUCAAUACAAAGGUCACAUUUUUGGAAACUUCCAAUUUAAUUUAUGAAUAAAUAAACCUUAAUCAGUUAAAGAAUGAAAACAAAGUUGCUCCGGUAAAUCAAGUAGUGCUACUCACUUAAGAGCCAAUUCAAUGUGUUGAAGGCGAUAAUAGAAAAUUGAAAGAUCCCCGUAGCUUUUCAUUGUAUCUGGGUGGUCAAGACCAAGUUCCCUCUCAUUAAUAUCCAAUGCCUUCUGCUGAUAUAUAGUUGCCUAAAAUGAAGAAGAAGAUAUCUUGAGUACAUACGAACACUACUCUAACACUCAGACGCAGAUGCCAUUAGACGAAAUGCCGGAACAUAAGAAUCAUGAACGUGUUUGAUUUAGUUAAAAUAUAUAAUCUGAUAUCAAAAUUAUGCUAAUGCCUGUACAUGUAAUUCCUAAGUCCAGAAAAUUAUAAUUCCUAAUGCAUAUCUUUAUACAAGACCAUAAAAACUAACCAUAACACAAAAAUUCAAAUCAAAUGUCCCGAUGAAUGAGAACCUCCGUACAGAAGGAUGUUAUAAUUAUACUAGACUUGGAAUCACCAAGUUAACACUGAAAUACAACUGAGGAUUGUCAUACCUGAUUAAAGUCUCCAGUAUGGUAGAGAACUACAGCUAGAAGACUGUAAGCACUUGCAGUAGUCCGAUGGUAGGGACCACAAACAGCUAUCAUCCUUGCCAGUGCCUUACAAGUAAUACAUCAUAUGAGAUCAAGAGAUGCCUUAUUAUGAAAAGAAUAAUGUAAUUCUUACGUAUAGAUCGAGUGGGUUAUUACCUUUGUCCCAUAAUUUACAGCAUCUUCUAGUUUUCCUUUAUCAAGGGCAAUUUUGGAUGACUCUAAUAAGGUCCGUCCAUCGGCUGAAGUGCAACCUACAUGCUGUAGAAUGCCAUAAAAAUAGCACAAUUCCAUUCAAUUUACAAAUGAGUGACUCAUUGAGAAUGUAAAAACUAAAUCAAAACACAAUUAAGAGAGAAAAUAGUCUCACCUUGCACACAGGAACCAUGCUGACAAUAUCAUCUCUCGUGAAUGGGUUUGGGCAUUCCAUAUCAUAAUCUCUGGGAACCAACACCAACCCAACCUGGGUGAAGUUUAGAAGCAAAAUUCAAGCUUUGAAAAUAAUCGGCUGCCAAAGGAACCGAAAAGACAGUACCUUAUAUGGCAAAGCCCACGUAGAAUUGAAAUCUUUCUCAAAUGCUGAAACUCAUCUUUCAGGGACCAACCAAAUCUUCUGCCAAGAAAUGUUCGUAGUCACUGCAAUCUGAGGAUAUGAUCUUCAUUCAAGCUUUGGUCAUCUUCCAUCUCACAACAGCCAAAUAAGAAAUUUAGGGAAGAAGCUAUAGCUGCAGAUAGGUCUGAUAAAUAGUCAACAGAUGCGAUGACUCCUUUAAGUACAUGCUUGAACGCUCGAGUAACCAUCUCAUGAAUACAAAGUGAUUGUAUGUGAGGAAGCUUCUCUGCAAGUUCAACCUGAUUUUGUAAAUGGGAUUAGAACCAACAGAAGAAGAAUACCAGGCUUUCAAGUAUUAGCAUGUCAAUUUCUCAAAAUAUUGUAUGUCAUACAACAUACAGUAAUAUCUAAAGACGACAAUAAUUCAAUGUCUUGGAAAAGGUCAACAAUGUCAAAAAUUCUAUCAUGUAGUACAAUUUUCAAAAAGGAACAUUGAUAAUUCAAUCCAGGAAGACUUGGGGGGAUUGUUUACAUAUAGAAAGAUAACUUGGGGGCUUUGCUUACAUAAAGAAAGACAACAUUUGCUUAUUCUGAUUUCCAUGGGUGAAUAGGUUGCAUGUCUGAGAGAGAAAGAGAGGGAGAAAUUCCUCACCACGCGACCUAAAGAGCGCAUUUGUAGUCCCCUUAAAUGCAUAAAGUCUGUCAGUGUGCGGCCAUCAACCGGAGAAAGUUCAAGUGAUCCAAAGUCUGUUACCUAAUAAAGAAUGGAAAUUAGUCCAUAAACCAUCCCCACACGUCUAAAUUGGCUGCAACAAAGGCCCUAAAUAAAUUAAAUAGUACCAGCUUUGGUAAAGCAAUGUCAUCAUAAUACUUGUAUGCCAUUUUCAUAAGCUCAUCCACUACCUGCACAAGAAAUUAAUUUUACCAGUCAUUCCAUAUGAAAAUAAAACAAACCAAAUUUAGCGUAAUGAAAACACAAAAAGUAGCAAACUUUACAGUUGAAAUACAAAACAAAUUUGAGAUUCUGAAACCUUUGAAUGAAGACCAGUGCCAGUUUCUUUAAAUCGCAAGAAGGAUUCUUCAGAAAUUAGUUUUUUCAAUUCCAUCUCACAAUUCAGCUCGCCAUUGCUUUGCUGUCUACCAUUACCUCCCACAUUCAUGCUGGACGGUCCAUUGUCAUUUUCGUUAGCCUCAUUAAUGCUACCAACAAGGUUAGGCCUGUUCUCCCUCUUCUUCAAAAAUUUAAAUUGCUUCCCAAGACCUUUGACAGCAUGUUCAGUCUUAAUAUCAUCCCCAGACCUCGUUGACUUGGUAUCUGUUGGAGUUUCCUGCUUUUGUAGAUGCUGCACCCAACAAGAACCAAGUUCCCAUCUAAUAGAUCUUUCUGAAGCAGUUGGCUCCAGCUCUAACUUUGCUAAACUCUGUUUAAUAACUCUUCUUACAAGACUUCUAAAAGCUUCUGAAUUAUCCAAAUUGCACAGAGGUGACUGGUCUCCUCUAGCCGAUUCAGCACUGAAAGACUUCUGAAGCACAAGCCUUAAGCUGCAAUAAAUAGUUUACCCUGUCAGAACAACUUACAUGGAGAAAGACAUAAGAUUAUAUGAAACAAAGGCAGAAUCCACCAAAGAAGGCCUAAAUACUUUCUGAAAUAGCACAAUCUAAAAAGCUGAUGACCUAUUUCAGCAACUGAGCAUGCACUGUAAUUAUACUUUCCUUUAUCCUUUAUUUGAACAUCAUCAACGAUGUCUGUUGGUUAUUUUGUUAAUAUAACAAUUACAAACCAAUGUCAGGGCACAUAACUAUAAACACUCAUCCAUUAUUGUGAAAGCCAUGACUUAAUGUUUCCUGCAACCACUCGUUAUUAUUUAGGUGGUCUACAACUAUGCAGAGGUGAAGCAUCCCCAUACAGUGAAGGAUCUCACACAUAUUUUAAUAGAGGAAAAGCCAUUUUCUGGUCGACAGGAUGCUGAAAGAGGAGUAUAUAUCCCUAACUAGAUAUCAGCUUUCUUUUCUUUGGCCUAUUCAUAAACUUAACACUUGAAGAAAACCUGGUUUAGAAAUCUGACAUCAACUCCCCUUAAGAGUUCAGACAUCUACUGAUUAGAUCCCAUCUAAACAGAAAGAAAAAGGAGCAGGUGCUAUCCUUUCUUAAGAAUCCCCAACACCACCAUUUCAAUCCUGUUCUAUCUGGUAAAAAUAAAGAGAAUAACAAUGCUCUGCAUCAUGAAUUCAACUGUGAUAGACACUAAGCAAAGAAGCUCAUACCAAUUAGUAUGUCUAAGAUAUCUUGCAGAAUAGCUUAAAACUGUUAGUGGUUGAAAGAUAAUUUUUCAUAUCUUACAGCCAUUCUCCAUCUGUAGAUUUCCUAGUCUUUGUGUGCUAAGAGAAAUCGACAGAGGAAGCAUUGUGUUACAAUUUCAAACCUGUUAAUAUUAAGAGAAUUAGCUCCUCCAUCAGGUUGAUCUUCAAUUUCAAUAUCUUGUGUGCCAAACUUCUCCUUCACAUCACCAACAACCUUUACUACAGCGGUGUAUCCACAGUGUCUUACAAUGACAGUACCCAAUGAGGAGGAUUCCUGCCAAAAACUAUAUUGUUUCAGUUCUCUUUAUCACAAAAUCUUUGAAACUAAAAUAAAAGAAACGGAAAAAGAAAAGGAAGAUAAAUCUAGAUAUUUUGAGAAAAAUAAAUCUGGAUAAUUCAAGAAAGUUUUAUUUCAAGAUCUACCAUGCUGAAAACUUUAGCAAUUGCACCACUAGUUGAUAUAAUACAAGCAUGCCCAACCAAGGUUAAUAGGCUUCCCCAAGACAUUAAGCUGGAGCAAACUACGAGCAGAAAAUCAGAGGGAUAUGGAUAAAAUCAGUAGAAAGACCUGCUAUCAAGUGAUUUCAACAGAAUAGGGAGUCACCAAACAGAAAGGCAACAUAAGAUUCAUGAAGCUAAACCAGAUAUUUAAGGUUAGUAACGAGUAGUGAUUCUCAGGAAAGAACCUAAAAUUGACUUUCUUGUGCAUUCAUAAAUGUGUAGAAAGAGAGAGUGAAGAGGAUGGGUAUUUUAGGCCAUCAUCAAAUGCCAGAUAUCAGAUAAAGAGGGAAACAUCUUAAUCCGACUGAAAAAUCACUCCCUGACAAAGGUAGAGCUAUAUUAUUCCGCCCACACAAGUAAUUUCGGCUUUGAUGAAUGUCUUUUAUGUGUGUGUUCUGUGAACAUAAGCAUAAAAAGUAAAGGAGAAAUCGACUUACGUGAACAACUACACUCUCAUCUGCAGUAACACCUUUUAGUAAAUUCCUUUGAGCAACUUAUGCAGCAGACAUACCAGAUGACUGAUUUCCUUUAAUAGUAACCUCAGACAUCAAGCUUGCAUCUACUGUAUCAUGUUUUACUGUAAUGGACAAGUCUCCCACAAGAUCUUCAUGCAAGAUUGCCCCCUUUUGGACAUUGAUUGUAUCUUGAGUGUGUAAAUUUGAAUCAAUGAGACGGCAUAUUGCUCCAACAGCUUUCAAAAUUGAGACAUCAACAAAUUGCUUAUUGUUGAAAAUAAAGAUUUAAAGUUAGGAUUUAUUUGUAAUCUAGGCUAUUUUAGGAAUAAUUUAAAUUAUAAUGGGAAGAUUCAUUAGGAUUCUUUCCAGAUUUUAUUUCUUAUUAUUUAGGAAAGGAUAGAUGUAGUCUCCUAUUUUCUCUCCUAUUUUGCUGUAUAUAUUCCCUGUACAUACUGUUCUGGAAAGUAAGAAAAAGAGGAACCAAUUCACGGUUUUCUUCAUGGUAUCAGAGCUAGGCUCUAAACCCUAGUUCUCCUAUCAGCCGCCAUUUCCUUCUUCUCCUCUACCACCUCUUUUCAACAGUAUCCACCUUCCUUCCUCUCCCAUCAGUUGUAUUCUCUGUGGCAAAAUAUGGGAUGGCUUCUUCAUCAACCUCCGUUACAAUAUCACAGUCUAAAGGAAACAUGGAGACUGCAACUCAUGGUGGAAUUGAUUCUUCACCAAUCUUAAUUACCAGCCAUAAAUUGAACGGCCACAAUUAUCUCUAGUGGUCACAAUCUGUCAUGAUGUUCAUCUGUGGCAAGGGUAAGGAUGAUUAUCUCACGGGUGAAGCGGCCAUGCCAGAGGUGUCAGAUCCUAGUUUCAAAAGGUGGAAGUCAGAAAACAACAUGAUCAUGUCAUGGCUUAUCAAUUCCAUGAACAAUGAUAUUGGUGAGAAUUUUCUUCUGUUUGGGACUGCAAAGGACAUAUGGGAUGCUGCAAAGGAAACCUAUUCUAGCUCUGAGAACACAUCAGAGUUAUUCCAGAUUGAAACCAUCCUCCAUGACUUCCGCCAAGGAGAACAAUCUGUCACUCAGUACUUUAAUACUCUGACUAGGCAUUGGCAACACCUUGAUCUAUUUGAAACAUACCCUUGGAAGUGCACCGACGAUACAACCUUGUACAAGAAGAUUGUGGAACAGAAGAGAACAUUUAAAUUUCUCCUUGGACUCAAUAAAGAUCUUGAUCAGGUUAGGAGCCGUGUACUCGGGACAAAGCCUUUACCGCGCCCUCGUGAAGCCUUUUCUGAAGUUAGGCGUGAAGAAAGUAGGAAAAAGGAGAUGAUGGGGUCAUCAGAACCAACACUGGACGCCUCUGCACUUGCUGCCCGUGCAUCCAACUCUGUAGGGGUUAGUGAAAAUCGUACAAAGAAAGAAAGACCAUGGUGCGAUCACUGUCGUAAGGCAGGCCACUAUAAGGAGAGUUGCUGGAAAAUUUAUGGCAAACCUGCUGAUUGGAAACCUCGUUCCAAAGGUGACCGUGAAUCUCGUGCUCAUACAGCAUCCACCACGGACAAUCAGGCCCUACCCGAGCCAAAUCCAUUCAGCAAGGAGCAAAUGGAGAUUCUUCAAAAGCUUUUCGAUCAAGCCACUUUGAACUCCAAUGCAGGGACAAGUCUAGUGGCUCAGAAAGAGACUCAUUCAGCAUUUGCAGCCACUAAUGGAGCAAGCAAACCCUGGAUAAUUGACAUUGGUGCUUCUGAUCACAUGACUGGAGAUGCCUCAAUGUUGCAGGAUUAUAAAGCUAGCAUCAACAGCACUUCAGUCCGGAUCGCAGAUGGCUCUCACACAAAAAUAGCAGGGACAGGUUCCAUCAGACUCACUAAGGAGUUAUACCUUAAUUCUGUACUUUAUGUGCCUAAUUUGGCUUGCAAUUUACUUUCAAUCAGUAAAUUCACUCGUGAUCAGAAUUGUGUAACUAAAUUCUAUCCAAAUAUGUGUGUUUUUCAGGACUUGGAUUCGGGGAAGACGAUUGGCAGUGCUGAGCUAUGUUCUGGACUCUAUCUACUCAAAAGCAAUCAAUCCUCCUUCAUACAAGAUUCGAGAGCAAACUAUGCCAAGUCCAAUAGUCUGUCAACUAGUUAUCCUCAUUCUAUUGUUAGUCCAAAUGUCAAUAACGAUAGUGAAAUUGUUCUGUUACACUAUCGAUUAGGUCAUCCUAGUUUCAUGUAUCUCGCAAAAUUUUUUCCCAAUCUAUUCAUUAAUAAAAACCCUUUAUCCUUUCAUUGUGAAAUUUGUCAAUUUGCAAAACAUACUCGAAAUGUUUAUUCAAGUGUUAAGUAUAAGCCUUCUCGUCCAUUUGCUUUAAUUCACAGUGAUGUGUGGGGUCCCUCAAGAAUUAAAAAUGUUUCUAGGGCUCACUAGUUUUUGUCAUUUGUAGAUGAUCAUACUCGUCUCACUUGGGUGUUUCUCAUGAAAAAUAAAUCUGAAGUUAGUCAAAUCUUCCAAAACUUUAACGCCAUGAUUCAAACCCAAUUCAAUACCAAAAUCCAAGUCCUUAAAACCGACAACGUCAAGGAAUAUUUCAAAGACUCCCUCAGGUCAUAUCUUCUCCAUCAAGGCAUUCUUCACAUCAGUUCUUGUGUUGACACCCCGCAACAAAAUGGGGUCGCUGAAUGCAAAAACAGACACCUUCUUGAAGUGGCUCGCUGUCUUUUGUUCUCGUCUCAUGUUCCUAAUUUUUUCUGGGGUGAAGCUGUUCUCACUGCAGCCUACUUAAUCAACCGAAUGCCUUCUAGAGUCUUGGGGUUUCAUUGCCUAAGAAAAGUUCUUCUCAAUUUCUUUCCACACACUAGGAUUGUUUCAGCAGAUUUACCACAAAAAAUAUUCGGUUGCACAGCAUAUGUCCAUGUUCACUCUCAACACAGGACCAAACUUGAUCCCCGAUCUCUCAAGUGUAUAUUUUUGGGCUAUUCUCCACUUAAAAAAGGAUACAAAUGCUAUUCUCCUCACACCAGGAAAAUAUACAUUUGCAGAGAUGUAACAUUUGUUGAAAACCUGCCUUUCUAUUCCAAAACUGAUGUUCAGGGAGAGAGUACGAGCGAACAUCAGCCUUGGGAAUCUUCUUGGCAAUCUUGGCUGGAAACCCCUCAUGAAAACCCUCAUAACUCAACCACCACACAUGAUCAAUCUAUCCAACAGCCACAAUCAGCAAUCCUUCCAACAUCUUCACAGCUUUUUGAGUCAUCUGAGUCCUCCCAACCACAAUCAACCGAGUCACCCCGUCAUCCAUCAGCUCAUCAACUACAGCCUCUAAUCUCACCUAUUCCACAGCUUGCUGUUGAUAAUCUCAAUGUUUAUAGGAGGAGAAGAACUGGAGAGCAGAUAGAGCACGGAACUCAGCCAUAUGUCCAAGAAACUGAACCAAAUCCAAGCUCUUGUGAAGACAACACAGGUAUGGAUAGUCUUGCCUCGGUUGAGUUCAUGGUUCCAAGUGUUGAUAAUUCUAAUAAAUCAAUUGCAGAAAGAAAAGGGGUUCGAAGUUGCACCACUCAUCCAAUUGCCAAAUAUGUCUCAUAUGAUGGUUUGUCCUCAUCAUACCAAGCCUUUGUUUCUUCUUUAGAUAAUCUACAUGUUCCCAACAAUAUACAAGAGGCUCUCGGUCAUCCUGAGUGGAAGAGAGCUGUUCAUGAAGAAAUAAAUGCUCUUGAGAAAAAUGAUACAUGGGUUAUAACAGAUCUUCCUGCAGGGAAACGACCAGUUGGAUGUAAGUGGAUUUUUACUGUUAAAUACAAGGCAGAUGGAAGUGUUGAGAGGCUCAAAGCUCGUCUUGUAGCUAAAGGGUUCACACAGUCAUAUGGGAUUGAUUAUCUAGAAACCUUUGCUCCGGUUGCGAAGCUCAACACCAUCAGAAUCUUGCUCUCCUUAACAGUAAAUCUAGAUUGGUACUUAUACCAACUAGAUAUAAAAAAUGCGUUUCUCAAUGGCGAUCUUGAAGAAGAAGUGUUUAUGGAAGUUCCCCAGGGUCUUGAUCUGAAUCUUACUGGAAAUAAAGUGUGCAAGCUCAAGAAAUCUUGUAUGGGCUUAAGCAAUCCCCUCGAGCAUGGUUUGAUAGAUUUGCGAAGGCAGUUGUGAGACUUGGUUACACUCAGUGUCAGGCAGAUCACACUCUAUUCCUCCGAACAUCACAAGCAAAGAAGAUCUCUCUCCUAAUCGUAUAUGUUGAUGACAUCAUUCUCUCAGGAAAUGAUGAGGAAGAACUGCAGAAGUUGAAGAAACAGCUAGCUCAGGAAUUCGAAGUUAAAGAUCUAGGGAAUCUGAAAUAUUUUCUUGGGAUGGAGGUGGCAAGAUCUAGAAAGGGAAUUGUUGUCUCCCAGAGGAAAUACACCCUGGACCUACUAAAGGAGACUGGUAUGAUUGGGUGCAAACCAGUAGAUACUCCUAUGGAUCCCUACAAGAAACUAGGCACAGUUGAGAAUAGUGUUCCAGUCAAUAGGGGGAGAUAUCAAAGGCUGGUUGGUCGUUUAAUCUAUCUCUCACAUACCCGUCCGGACAUAGGCUUUGCUGUUAAUGCUGUGAGCCAAUUCAUGCACAAUCCUACAGAGGAACACAUGGAUACAGUCUUUAGAAUUCUGAAGUAUCUGAAGAUGACACCUGGAAAAGGAUUGUUUUUCAAGAAAUCAGAAUAUAGGAAUAUUGAGAUCUACUCCGAUGCAGACUGGGCUGGAGACGUCACAAAUAGAAGAUCAACAUUUGCUUACUGUUCCUAUGUCUGGGGAAAUCUAGUAACCUGGAGGAGUAAGAAACAAUCUGUUGUAGCUAGGAGUAGUACAGAAGCAGAGUUCAGAGCUUUGGCAAAUGGAAUCUGUGAAGGAAUUUGGAUAAAGCGUGUACUCAAGGAACUCGGUGUGUGCAGCCCUUCAUCCAUUCUAAUGAGAUGUGACAAUCAAGCAGCAAUCAGCAUCGCUAAAAACCCAGUGCAUCAUGAUCGAACCAAACAUGUCGAGAUUGAUAGGCACUUCAUCUCAGAGAAGGUCACUAGUGGAAGUGUGGAAUUAAAGUACAUUCCAACUAGACAACAAAUUGCAGACAUCCUUACUAAAGCACUGCCAAGACCUAACUUUGAAGACUUAAGUAACAAGCUGGGUUUGUAUGAUAUACACACACCAGCUUGAGGGGGAGUGUUGAAAAUAAAGAUUCAAAGUUAGGAUUUAUUUGUAAUCUAGGCUAUUUUAGGAAUAAGUUAAAUUAUAAUGGGAAGAUUCAUUAGGAUUCUUUCCAGAUUUUGUUUCUUAUUAUUUAGGAAAUGAUAGAUGUAGUCUCCUAUUUUCUCUCCUAUUUUGCUGUAUAUAUUCCCUGUACAUACUGUUCUGGAAAGUAAGAAAAAGAGGAACCAAUUCACGGUUUUCUUCACUUAUGAAGCAAAAAGGCCUUCCGAUCUCUAACCACCCUCUCCUCUUUAGUUUUGCAAGAAAGCCUAGCCAGUAUAGCAAAUUCCGUCACCCAUGGUCGUAAAUCAUGUUCUCCAUCUCUUCCCUGGCCUCCGCCAUUGCCACCCCAAUUCUCAUCUUCUGCCGGUAGGCAUGGGAAAUUUGAUGGAGACUCAGCAACAGAUGGAGGUACAAGCCAUGUAUUAGCUCGAAAUCCAUAGGGAAGAUUACCAAACUGAAGAAGGAUAUUGAAUAUACUAUAUCAGUAAAAUCAAGUUAAAAUCACAUUUGAAUUGGUAAUCAACUAUGUCAGCAUAGAAAUUGUUACCUUAUUAUGUUCAACAAAAGCUUUCAUUAGGGAUUCAUAUGCCUGCAUCACGCAUAAUGACCAUAAUUAUUAACAAAACAAUUGAUGGGUAAGCUAAUUGAAUUUACAAAGGAAAAAAAGAUGCAUUCAGAUAAAAAAGAAAAAGAAAAUCUGUAGAUUCAACUAUUGAGUACCCACAUUGGCAAAAGCUCGACUGAGAUUUUGCAGAAGAUCCACCAGGGAGUUGCUUUGGAAACCUGCUUUCCCAAAGUAUAGAACCCUUUUACUGAUGCAACUACUUGUAUAAGCUUUCCAUUGCAGAUUUUUAUCUGUGAAAAUAAUUCAUGCAUUCUUAUUAAUUAGCAGACAAUGAUUAUUAAAUCUUUAACACUCAUUGGCCAAUUCAUCAGCAAAAAUAAUGAGUUGAAUAACUCUACAAUUAAUUAGUCCUUAAACAACAAACAACAAUAAUCAGAACUUUAUAUUAAAUGGCACCUGAAUUUCAAAAUAAUCACGGUCGCGCUUCUCUCCUUCUUUGCGUUCACAUUUUCUCAAAUCUUCAAAAUCAAAAUUAUUAAAAAUUAAAAUCAAUAAAAAAAUUUCAUAUUCAAAUAAAUCAUAUAUAUUUAUUUCAUUUUCCUCUUUUUUUUUUUUUAAUCGACCAUGUAAAAAACGAAGACAAAUAAAUAAUUGGACAUUAGGCUUACUCAAGAUGGGGGGAGCGAGGUGAGAGAAAGAGAAGAAGUCAGAAAACUCGGAGGGUUUCGGCGCCGGGUGAAUGACCGCCAUGUCCAGACUCAGAGAAACCGCCGAUGAAACUGGCGAUGACGUGGCGCGGGGCCCGCUUCGGUUAUCUGCUGCUGCUGUUGCUGCUCCAUCAGACAGAGCGGCAAAGUUUGGUGAACGCGGGUGGGGCCUACUGCCGUUCUUUUUGGCACAUGACUCUGACGGUGGCGGCAAUCGGGAGUUUCUGGACUUGGAGAACCAUGUGGUGCACGCGACGACGUCGAGAAGCUGCCGCACGUGUGCCACGGCCUGAGAUUCCUCGGUGUAUUCCUCUGCGAAGGACAGUGCCAAAAAUGUAAAUAACAAGGAAUUGCCGGGCAAAGUUUUUUUUCUUUUAUUAUUUUAGUUCUUUCUAUUAAAUAUUAACUUAAUUAUAAGUAGAAAAUAAUUAUAGCACUAAACUAUUAUUUUCUUUUAUUAUCUUAGCACUAAACUAUUCGUCAAACUUAUUUUUGAAAAUAAUUUUUUUAUAAUUAAAAUACUUCUAGAUUAAAUUUUAAUUAUAAGCACUAAAAAAUGAGAAAAAAAAAUAAAAUUUUCACUCUUUAAACAAGCCUUUACAUAUAAUUUUGUUAAACUCUAAUCAUAUUAAUUAUUCAUGAUAAAGUUACUAAUUCUAAAAUAAUACACUUCUGUAAACCUUCUUGCUCUGUUUACAUGUCUGCCAACUAAUUUUUUUAAUAGAUUAAAAUUUACGGUUGGUUGAAAAUUAGGGAAAUUUACACCAAUAACUAUAAAAGUUUUGACUUUUUCCAUCUUAACCCCCCAAACAAAUUUCUAUCAACAAUAGCCAUAAAAGAACCUUUGAGACCAAAAUACCUCUUUCUCUCAUUUCUCCCCCAACACUCUCUUUCACCCAUCUCUCCCAAACCGAAGAAACUCUCAUCAUCGGUGGCAACAUCAGCCCUCCUCGGCAGCGGCUCCAUCCCUCAUCGGUGUCCGAUCUACCAUCUACAGCCUUCAACAAAACCUAGGUUAGCCAUUUUACUUAUUUUCAUUAAUUUAAAAUGAAAUUUCAUAAUCUAUAUAAUUUAAAAAAAAAAAGAGAGAUAAUAAAAUAUAUAUACCUCGUGAGAGAGAGAAUAAUUUGUGAGGUGGCAAGUUUCUACAUUGGAAGCCAACAAUUUUUUCACAUCAAGUAUCUUGUCAGUGGAGAUGCCCUUUGAGCAAAUUUUAAUUAAAAAAAAAAAGAUGAUUAAUUAAUAAUUCAUUUAUAUUUAUAAAGUUUUAAAAAAUAAUAUGCUAAUCAUAGCUGGGGAGGGCAAAACAAGAAAGUAUUAAUGAUAAGUAUAAAUGUAUACCUUGAGAACAACUUGUGAUUCAUAUGGGGUGAUGAUUGCGAUAUCAAGAACACUGGGUACUACUGCACAACAAAAAAAUAUCAAUGAACAUAACGAAGCUAUGGAGCAUAAGCACAAUCAAACAUGCAGGCUAAAAAUAAUUGAAUAAAUAUAUGUAAUAUGCAGGCUAAAAAUAAUUGAUGGUGUUGUGGAAGUUUGAAUUCAUAGAUUUACAGCUCGGUCUAAAUGUUCAUUAAGUAUAAUUUAAAAAUCAGCAUUGUAUCUAUUGUUACUAAUGUUUGAAUAAAUAUAUGUAUCCUUUUAUCAAAAAUGGAUUAUAAAGAGCUUUGAUGGAGAUUGUUAGGGAGAAACUCUUGUGGAGCCAACACGCGAGGAUCCAAUGGAUCGCACAGCGGCAUCAACGAAUUUUUCAUUUAAAAAAUAUAUAAAAUUACAUUAUUUUAAUUUAUAAAUCCCAUCAGACCUGCCAAAUUAAUGUGCAGGCGCGCGCCUCCUCAACCUUUUCUCGGAUUGUUGGGGACUGCAGACUGCAGCUCACGGUUGAAUUUUCCCCGUAGCGUUCUUGACGUACGCCAAUAUUUUAAUCAGCUUUAACUUUAAGCCUCUGUUUUAUAAAAAUUAUUUCACCAGCAGAUUACAUGUAUUUUGGCAAGUUUACAUUGUGAAAGAAAGAUGUAUUCAAAAGGCACAAAUUGUUUAUUCGUUAUGGUCGUGAUUUGGUGGGCGAAUCUACUGUAAAGCCUUGUAUUCAUUUACCUGAUUACGGUCAUCAGUAUCUUUUACUUAUUCGUUCACUUUUCCUUUCGUUAGUUAUUGCAGAAACGCGUUUGAGUAGCUAUUAAAAUUAUGGUGAUCACGUGAGCUGCGGAAAAAAAAAAAAUGGUCGUGGCAAUGAACAAGUACAAAGAAAAGAAAUGGGAUUUGAAAACAACUCUCACUAUCCGGCUGAGACGCCGCAAUUUCCUUAUGCAGUAAAUGUUGUUGUACGUUCACAAGUGAAGUGUGAAGCUAACAUUUCACUUUGCCAAUAGCCAUGCACGUCAAACUAACCAAUUAAUUUGCAUCUUCAGUUAUUUCUUUGGUCGGUACUAAAGUCAAACUUAUUUUACCACAAUAUUCAAGUCAAUAUUUCAACAUUCUUUUCUCUCUUUCAUCUGGUCAAAUAUUUUAAUUCACUCGUAUCUUGCUAAAGCAGAUGUAAUAUUCUCACUUACUUUGUUUAAAACUAGCUAGAUAUACGAUAGCAACUUAUUUGAAUGAUGUGCUAGAAAUCCAUCCAAGUGAAACUUAGGGUGCGUUUGGGAUUGAGGUUGGGCAGCUGUAGCUUAAAAGCUACAGCACUAAAGUGUUUGGUAAACACUAGCUGUUGUAGCUUUUAACCUAUGUUGAUAUAAUUUUUCACUUGUAUAAUAUAAAAUUUAUUAUAUCUUUAAUAAUUUUGAUAAAAUUAUUAUUUAAAAUUUAUAUUUACUAUAUAUUAUUAACUUUUAUUUCAUAAUUACAGCUUUUUUUUCACAGCAGCUGUAGCUUAAAAGCUAUAACACCUCAAUCCCAAACACACCCUUAAAGGAGACAAUCCAACAUGCAGGCUCUAAAACUAAUUUGUGGUAUGUUGGAAGUUUGAAUUUAUAGAUUUAAAGCUCAGUCCAAAGAUUUAAUAAUAUUAGGUGUAAUUUGAAGAUCAGUAAUAUUUCUAUUUUUAUCUAUAUUUUAUUAAAAGUGGAUUAUAAAGAGGCCAGAUGAGGAUUGUUGAGGACUGCAGGCCGCAGGCCACGACAAGAGCCUGACCGCUCAAUGCCUCUUUACAAAAACUUUUUCUGUUCACGAAAAACGUUUCUGAAAAUGUCUAGCCAAAAGCUAAAGGCAUUUCCAUUUCAUUAUUUUUCGUUUUCAGAAACAGAAAACACUUAUAAAGCCAAAUUACAUGGUAACUCAAGAUGUCACGUGAUUUGCACAUGAUGCAUUUAAGUGAGCUUGAUCAAAAAUUAAAAUUUUUUUUUUUCUAAAGGAAAGGGUGAGUAAAGACAACUUAUUUUUUAACCUCUUAUUCCAAAUUCAGACUCGAAUAGUCAACUAAGUAAAAAUGCUUUCAAAUACUUGACCAUGUCUUUUUGGGCAAAUAGAACAAAUUGAGAAAUCACACUUGAUUGUGAAGGAAUUAGUUCUGCCAUCUCAACUGAAAACUUGUUUAUUUGCAUUGCAACUGGUUUUGUUUAAUUUUUAUGGGGUUUUUGAUGUUUCCAUCACUUGAUGUUCAAUUGCAAUUGUAUGUUACCUUAACAAGCAUUUGGUGAUUUUCCAGUAGCUAAUUUCUUUACACCAACAUUUUACUCAACUAAACUUUAAGCCUUUAUUUUAUCAAACUAAUUCACCAGUAGAUAACAUGUAUUUUUUGGCAAGAGUUUACAUUGCGAAAGAAAGAUAAGCCUAAGUUCACUCGUAUCGUGCUAAAGCAGAUGCAUUAUUAUUGGACGAAAAAGCACAAUUGGUGGUCUAAUCUACUGUAAAGUCUUGUAUUUAUUUGCAUAAUUACGGCCAUCAGUAUCUUUUACUGCAUUCACUUCUUUUUUUUUCUUUAAUUAUCAAGGAAACGCGGUUUAAGUAAUUAUCAAAAUUAUGUUAAAUAUUUGUGAGCCCAUUAUAGGACAGAGUGUGAGUCCCCACUAACAAAUAAUGGGACUGAUAUACAAAAUAGCGACCCUCAAAAUCCAGCUGAGAUGUCGCAAUUUCCUUAUGCUACAAAUGUUGACACUGGACUGGUAAAAGUGUGUGGCUAACAUUUCACUUUGCCAAAGGCCAGGCCCGUGAAAUCAACCAUUUUGCAUCUUCAAUUAUUUCACAAGCAGAUAACAUGUAUCAACAGGUAAUAUUCUCUCACUUACUUUUUUCAAUCAAUGCAUGUUUUCUCAUUGACAGGGCACGUGAAAAUGCGCAAAAUUUUCAUUCUGCACAAAAUUUCCAUCGUAUAUAUAAGUCAUAUAUUUGUUAGAGAACCAGAAAAAAAUCAAGAGAGCAACAAUUGACAGGUAAAUCUUGUGAGUGUUUCUCUCGCAGUUAAUAUUAAUAAUGAAAAUGCUUUUGAUGAAGUUGUCAUUGUGGAUUGGCAUAGCUUUGAUUCAGUUACAUGGAUACAAAGCAUGCUUGGAAACAGAGAGGAUUGCUUUGUUGGAAAUCAAGAGCUUCUUCGCAUCAGCCAGUGAUGUUGGAUAUGAUGACGAAGUUCUUUCUUCAUGAUUUGAUGAUGAUGGAAUGUCGUCUGAUUGUUGUAACGAUUGGGAGAGAAUUAAGUGCAACGCCACCACCCGACGGGUGACGCAACUCUCACUCAAUCAGAAAACAAAAAUCAACUGCUCUGAUUAUAACUCUUUUAUUCUUAUGAAGUUUCUCUUCUGAAUAUGUCAUUGUUUCACCCUUUCGAAGAAUUGCAGUGCCUUGACUUAUCUGAUAAUUGGUUUAAAGGCUUCUAUGAGAAUAAAGGUACUGUUGAUGCAAGAAAUCCGGAUAAGUUGGUCAGAUCUCAGAUCACUACAUCAUCAUUAAAUUUGUUUGGUGGGAAGCUGAUGAUUAGUUAGCACCAUGAGCAGAUUUUCUAUGAGCAGAUGUUCUGUGAGCAGACAACCCAUGAGCAGAUAAUCCAUAAGCAGACGAUCCAUGAGCAGAGAACCCAUGAGCAGACAUCCCAUGACCAGACAAUCCACGAGCAGACAAUCCAUGAGCAGAGAACCCAUGAGCAGACAUCCCAUGAGCAAAUAACCCAUGAGCAGACAAUUCAUGAGCAGAUAACCUGUGAGCCUGUGAACACAACCAACGGUUAGGAGGUGCCGGAAGUUUUUCCGGCGAGAACCCUCCGACGCUCAAGUCAGCGAUUCGGGUCUUACUUGGAAAAACCCAUACCACAAUUCAUGUGGCUUAAUUAUGAUUGCUUUAAACAAAAAGCUUUUAAGUAAAUUUAAAGGAAAAAAAUUCAAAAUAAUCAAUCUUAAAGAAAUCACAGGCGAAAGAGAAAUUUCUCUGUGGUAGAGAGAGAAAAAGGUCCAAUGGGUUCAGUUGCUUAGAGAGAGAGAGAGAGCUCGAAGAAUCCCUCAUUUCCUUUCCCUUCAUAGGGUUUUAUAGGAAACUAUAGCGGUUUUCAUCCUCUCCCCUAGAAUUCUUAAGAAAACUACUAAUUUUCAGCCCACUAAGAAUAUGGUCCCUAAUAUUUCGGAGAAAAUGUUUUGACUGAAUCGUGCUUCCUGGUAACUUCCUGGUCGAGGUGACCAAUAACAUCCUGGUCGAGGUGACCUGCUUGAGGUGACCAAUAACCUCCUGGUCGAGGUGAUGUGCUCGAGGUCACCACAUAUUAUUCUAGUUGAGGUGACCAAUAACAUCAUGGUCGAGAUGAUCUACUCGAGGUGACCAAUAACCUCCUGGUCGAUGUGAUGUGCUCGAGGUCACCACAUAUUAUUCUGGUCGAGGUGACCAAUAACAUCCUGGUCGAGGUCACCAAAUAACAUCCUGGUCGAGGUGACCUGCUCAAGGUGACCAACAACCUCCUGGUCGAGGUGAUGUGCUCGAGGUCACCACAUAUUAUUCUGGUCGAGGUGACCAAUAACAUCAUGGUCGAGAUGAUCUGCUCGAGGUGACCAAUAACCUCCUGGUCGAGGUGAUGUGCUCGAGGUCACCACAUAUUAUUCUGGUCGAGGUGACCAAUAACAUCCUGGUCGAGGUGAUCUGCUCGAGGUCACCAAAUAACAUCCUGGGCGAGGUGAUCUGCUCAACCAUUUGCUCAUUUUUACUUUAGAGGACAACAUGAUAAUGUAUGAGCAAACACCUUUAUCUUGGUCACCAUAUUUCAUUCCCUAAACACCAGUCCCCCAGUUUUUAGUGUUGAGAGUGAAACGAAUUAAGACUGGAAACUUUGGUGGUUUGCUCGCUUUCGCUUGGUCGAGGAGAUCCUGGUAUGCUUGGCUUCCUGUCUCGCCAUAAAACAGGCUUUGAGACUUUGGAGCCUUUGCACGCCUUAGAAAUUUUUUGGUACUUUGGUGGUUUGCUCGCAUUCGCUUGGUUGAGCAGAUCCUGGCAUGCUUGGCUUCCUGUCUCGCCAUAAAACAGGCUUUGAGACUUUGGAGUCUUUGCACGCCUUAGAAACUUUUUGGAACUUUGGUGAUCUGCUCGCCUUCGCUUGGUCGAGCAGAUCCUGGCGUGCUUGGCUUCCUGUCUCGCCAUAAAACAGGCUUUGAGACUUUGGAGCCUUUGCACGCCUUAGAAACUUUUUGGAACUUUAGUGGUCUGCUCGCUUUUGCUUGGUCGAGCAGAUCCUAGCACGCUUGGCUUCUGGUCUCGCCAUAAACAGGCUUUGAGACUUAGUGAGCCUUUGCAGGCCUUAGGAUUUUUUACAACGCUUGGGAGUCUGCUCGCCUUCGCUUGGUCGAGCAGAUCCUGGCACCCUUGGCUUCUGGUCUCGCCAUAAACAGGCUUUGAGACUUUGGUGAGCCUUUGCAUGCUUUAGGAACUUUUACAACGCUUGGGAGUCUGCUCGCCUUCGCUUGGUCGAGCAGAUCCUGGCACGCUUGACGUCUGGUCUCGCCAUAAACAGGCUUUGAGACUUUGGUGAGCCUUUGCAUGCUUUAGGAAUUUUUACAACGCUUGGGAGUCUGCUCGCCUUCGCUUGGUCGAGCAGAUCCUGGCACGCUUGACGUCUGGUCUCGCCAUAAACAGGCUUUGACACUUUGGUGAGCCUUUGCAUGCUUUAGGAAUUUUUACAACGCUUGGGAGUCUGCUCACCUUCGCUUGGUCGAGCAGAUCCUGGCAUGCUUGGCUUCCUGUCUCGCCAUAAAACAGGCUUUGAGACUUUGGAGCCUUUGCACGCCUUAGAAACUUUUUGGAACUUUAGUGGUCUGCUCGCUUUUGCUUGGUCGAGCAGAUCCUAGCACGCUUGGCUUCUGGUCUCGCCAUAAACAGGCUUUGAGACUUAGUGAGCCUUUGCAGGCCUUAGGAUUUUUUACAACGCUUGGGAGUCUGCUCGCCUUCGCUUGGUCGAGCAGAUCCUGGCACGCUUGGCUUCUGGUCUCGCCAUAAACAGGCUUUGAGACUUUGGUGAGCCUUUGCAUGCCUUAGGAAUUUUUACAACGCUUGGGAGUCUGCUCGUCUUCGCUUGGUCGAGCAGAUCCUGGCACGCUUGGCUUUUGGUCUCGCCAUAAACAGGCUUUGAGACUUUGGUGAGCCUUUGCAUGCCUUAGGAAUUUUUACAACGCUUGGGAGUCUGCUCGCCUUCGCUUGGUCGAGCAGAUCCUGGCACACUUGGCUUCUGGUCUCGCCAUAAACAGGCUUUGAGACUUUGGUGAGCCUUUGCAUGCCUUAGGAAUUUUUACAACGCUUGGGAGUCUGCUCGCCUUCGCUUGGUCGAGCAGAUCCUGGCACGCUUGGCUUUUGGUCUCGCCAUAAACAGGCUUUGAGACUUUGGUGAGCCUUUGCAGGCCUUAGGAUUUUUUACAACGCUUGGGAGUCUGCUCGCCUUCGCUUGGUCGAGCAGAUCCUGGCACGCUUGACGUCUGGUCUCGCCAUAAACAGGCUUUGAGACUUUGGUGAGCCUUUGCAUGCUUUAGGAAUUUUUACAACGCUUGGGAGUCUGCUCACCUUCGCUUGGUCGAGCAGAUCCUGGCAUGCUUGGCUUCCUGUCUCGCCAUAAAACAGGCUUUGAGACUUUGGAGCCUUUGCACGCCUUAGAAACUUUUUGGAACUUUAGUGGUCUACUCGCUUUUGCUUGGUCGAGCAGAUCCUAGCACGCUUGGCUUCUGGUCUCGCCAUAAACAGGCUUUGAGACUUAGUGAGCCUUUGCAGGCCUUAGGAUUUUUUACAACGCUUGGGAGUCUGCUCGCCUUCGCUUGGUCGAGCAGAUCCUGGCACGAUUGGCUUCUGGUCUCGCCAUAAACAGGCUUUGAGACUUUGGUGAGCCUUUGCAUGCUUUAGGAAUUUUUACAAUGCUUGGGAGUCUGCUCGCCUUCGCUUGGUCGAGCAGAUCCUGGCACGCUUGACGUCUGGUUUCGCCAUAAACAGGCUUUGAGACUUUGGUGAGCCUUUGCAUGCUUUAGGAAUUUUUACAACGCUUGGGAGUCUGCUCACCUUCGCUUGGUCGAGCAGAUCCUGGCACGCUUGGCUUCUAGUCUCGCCAUAAACAGGCUUUGAGACUUUGGUGAGCCUUUGCAUGCCUUAGGAAUUUUUACAACGCUUGGGAGUCUGCUCGUCUUCGCUUGGUCGAGCAGAUCCUGGCACGCUUGGCUUUUGGUCUCGCCAUAAACAGGCUUUGAGACUUUGGUGAGCCUUUGCAUGCCUUAGGAAUUUUUACAACGCUUGGGAGUCUGCUCGCCUUCGCUUGGUCGAGCAGAUCCUGGCACGAUUGGCUUCUGGUCUCGCCAUAAACAGGCUUUGAGACUUUGGUGAGCCUUUGCAUGCUUUAGGAAUUUUUACAACGCUUGGGAGUCUGCUCGCCUUCGCUUGGUCGAGCAGAUCCUGGCACGCUUGACGUCUGGUCUCGCCAUAAACAGGCUUUGAGACUUUGGUGAGCCUUUGCAUGCUUUAGGAAUUUUUACAACGCUUGGGAGUCUGCUCACCUUCGCUUGGUCGAGCAGAUCCUGGCACGCUUGGCUUCUGGUCUCGCCAUAAACAGGCUUUGAGACUUUGGUGAGCCUUUGCAUGCCUUAGGAAUUUUUACAACGCUUGGGAGUCUACUCGUCUUCGCUUGGUCGAGCAGAUCCUGGCACGCUUGGCUUUUGGUCUCGCCAUAAACAGGCUUUGAGACUUUGGUGAGCCUUUGCAUGCCUUAGGAAUUUUUACAACGCUUGGGAGUCUGCUCGUCUUCGCUUGGUCGAGCAGAUCCUGGCACGCUUGACUUCUGGUCUCGCCAUAAACAGGCUUUGGGACUUUGGUGAGCCUUUGCAUGCCUUAGGAAUUUUUACAACGCUUGGGAGUUUGCUCGCAACGAGAAGCCAAUUUGUUGUCUCUAUCAAUUUUCAUCUAGUCGAAGCAAAUCAGAAUGUUACAGUGCAUAAAUGGAUGAUCUUGCUUAAACAAGGAAGAAACAACCUUAAAUGAGAGCACAUUGAAGGCACACGUUUGCAAAAAUCAGAACAUGUCAGAAGUUAAAUUUUUAUUUACAAGCAAUUUUUUCAUGAAAUUUUAAUUAUUUCUCUAAAUCCUGCUAUGUGAGAUGAGGAUACCUUAUAUUCAUUAAAUUGAUUGUGCUCAUAUUAGGGCUGACGUUAUAACUUAGUUAACUUGAUUUCUUGAAAGUUACUCAAUAUGAGAAUGAUUUAAGAAAAGAGAGCUAGGCUAGCGUUGAGAAACCAAUCAAAGUUUACUAAUAAGGCGUGCAAAGGCUCCAAAGUCUCAAAGCUUGUUUUAUGGCGAGACAAGAAGCCAAGCUUGUCAGGAUCUGCUCGACCAAGUGAAGGUGAGCAGACCACCAAAGUUCCAAAAAGUUUCGAAGGCAUGCAAAGGCUCACCAAGUCUCAAAACAUGUUUUAUGGCGAGACCAGAAGCCAAGCGUGCCAGGAUCUGCUCGACCAAGCGAUGGCGAGCAGAAUCCCAAGCAUACAAAAAUUUCGAAGGCAUGCAAAGACUCACCAAGUCUCAAAGCCUGUUUUAUGGCGAGACCAGAAGUCAAACGUGCCAGGAUCUGCUCGACCAAGCGAUGGUGAGCAGAAUCCCAGGUAUACAAAAAUUUCAAAGGCAUGCAAAGGCUCACCAAAUCUCAAAGCCUGUUUUAUGGCGAGACCAGAAGCCAAGCGUGCCAGGAUCUGCUCGACCAAGCAAAGGCGAGCAGAAUCCCAAGCAUACAAAAAUUUCGAAGGCAUGCAAAGACUCACCAAGUCUCAAAGCCUGUUUUAUGGCGAGACCAGAAGUCAAGCGUGCCAGGAUCUGCUCGACCAAGCGAUGGCGAGCAGAAUCCCAAGCAUACAAAAAUUUCGAAGGCAUGCAAAGGCUCACCAAGUCUCAAAGCCUGUUUUAUGGCGAUACCAGAAGCCAAGCGUGCCAGGAUCUGCUCGACCAAGCGAUGGCGAGCAGAAUCCCAAGCAUACAAAAAUUUCGAAGGCAUGCAAAGACUCACCAAGUCUCAAAGCCUGUUUUAUGGCGAGACCAGAAGUCAAGCGUGCCAGGAUCUGCUCGACCAAGCGAUGGCGAGCAGAAUCCCAAGCAUACAAAAAUUUCGAAGGCAUGCAAGGACUCACCAUGUCUCAAAGCCUGUUUUAUGGCGAGACCAGAAGUCAAGCGUGCCAGGAUCUGCUCGACCAAGCGAUGGCGAGCAGAAUCCCAAGCAUACAAAAAUUUCGAAGGCAUGCAAAGGCUCACCAAGUCUCAAAGCCUGUUUUAUGGCGAGACCAGAAGCUAAGCGUGCCAGAAUCUGCUCGACCAAGCAAAGGCGAGCAGAAUCCCAAGCAUACAAAAAUUUCGAAGGCAUGCAAAGGCUCACCAAAUAUCAAAACCUGUUUUAUGGCGAGACCAGAAGACAAACGUGCCAGGAUCUGCUCGACCAAGCGAAGGCGAGCAGAAUCCCAAGCAUACAAAAAUUUCGAAGGCAUGCAAAGGCUCACCAAGUCUCAAAGCAUGUUUUAUGGCGAGACCAGAAGCCAAGCGUGCCAGGAUCUGCUCGACCAAGCGAAGGCGAGCAGACCACCAAAGUUCCAAAAAGUUUCUAAGGCGUGCAAAGGCUCCAAAGUCUCAAAGCAUGUUUUAUUACGAGACAGGAAGCCAAGCAUGCCAGGAUCUGCUCGACCAAGCGAAGGCGAGUAGACCACCAAAGUUUCCAGUCUUGAUUCGUUUCACUCUCAACACUAGAAACUGGGGGACUGGUGUUUAGGGAAUGAAAUAAGGUGACCAAGAUAAAGGUGUUUGCUCAUACAUUAUCGUGCUCUCCUCAAAGUAAAAGUGAGCAAAUGGUAUAGCAGAUCACCUCGACCAGGAUGUUAUUAGUCACCUCGAGCAGAUCACCUCGACCAGGAUAUUAUUGGUCACCUCGACCAGAAUAAUAUGUGGUGACCUCGAGCACAUCACCUCGACCAGGAUGUUAUUGGUCACCUCGAUUAGAAUAAUAUGUGGUGACCUCGAGCACAUCACCUCGACCAGGAUGAUAUUGGUCACCUCGAGCAGAUCACCUCGAGCAGGAUAUUAUUGGUCACCUCGACCAGAAUAAUAUGUGGUGACCUCGAGCACAUCACCUCGACCAGGAUGUUAUUGGUCACCUCGACCAGAAUAAUAUGUGGUGACCUCGAGCACAUCACCUCGACCAGGAUGUUAUUGGUCACCUCGAGCAGAUCACCUCGAUCAGGAUAUUAUUGGUCACCUCGACCAGAAUAAUAUGUGGUGACCUCGAGCACAUCACCUCGACCAGGAUAUUAUUGGUCACCUCGACCAGAAUAAUAUGUGGUGACCUCGAGCACAUCACCUCGACCAGGAUAUUAUUGGUCACCUCGACCAGGAAGUUACCAGAAAGCACGAUUCAGUCAAAAUAUUUUCUCCGAAAUAUUAGGGACCAUAUUCUUAGUGGGCUGAAAAUUAGUAGUUCUCUUGAGAAUUCUAGGGGAGAGGAUAAAAACCACUAUAGUUUCCUAUAAAAACCCUAGGAAGGGGAUUCUUCGAGCUCUCUCUCUCUCUCUAAGCAACUGAACCCAUUGGACAUUUUUCUCUCUCUACCACUGAGAAAUUUCUCUUUCGCCUGUGAUUUCUUUAAGAUUGAUUAUUUUGAAUUCUUUUCCUUUAAAUUUACUUAAAAGCUUUUUGUUUAAAGUAAUCAUAAUUAAGCCACAUGAAUUGUGGUAUGGGUUUUUCCAAGUAAGACCCGAAUCGCUGACUUGAGCGUCGGAGGGUUCUUGCCGGAAAAACUUCCGGCACCUCCUGACCGUUGGUUGUGUUCACAGGCUCACAGGUUAUCUGCUCAUGAAUUAUCUGCUCAUGGGUUAUCUGCUCAUGGGAUGUCUGCUCAUGGGUUCUCUGCUCAUGGAUCGUCUGCUCGUGGAUUGUCUGCUCAUGGGUUCUCUGCUCAUGGAUCGUUUGCUCAUGGAUUAUCUGCUCAUGGGUUGUCCGCUCACAGAACAUCGGCUCAUAGAAAAUCUGCUCAUGGUGCUAACUAAUCAUCAGCUUCCCACCAAACAAAUUUAAUGAUGAUGCAGUGAUCUAAGAUCUGACCAACUUAUCCGGAUUUCUUGCAUCAACAGGUACAAGCAUAUGUAUAUAUUACUCAUUCGUAAUUAUUUUGUCAGUGACUAAUUAAUGAUAAUAAUUCAUAUGCAUUUGCAGCUUACGACAGCUUGGGGAGUUUGAAACAGCUGAAGGUCUUAAAUCUUGGUGGUGAUUUCCUCAACGACAACAUAUUACCAUAUUUGAAUACACUAACUUCACUUACCACUCUGAAUCUUCGUUCCAAUAACAUUGAAGGUUCCAGAAUCAAGCAAGGUAUAUAUGUUUGAUACCAUCUUGCUGGCUUCAGCCUGUGUACAUGCGCGCAUUGCAACCAAGACACUGGGAAAGUGGCCUCGUAGUCAUUUUUUUUUCCUUUUCUUUUUCUCUAAACUUCGUUUUCGGAACACAUGAAAUCUAUCAAUUAGAAAGGGAGGGAAAAAAAAAAUCGUAGUAACUAUUAAUUGUUGACCAUUGACCCAAACUCUGACAUCAAUAACAAAUUUUUAAAAUAUCUAAAUAGAUUUAUUAAAUAAUAAAUGCUAAUAGUAUUUUUUUUUUAAAUAUUACUUAUAAUACAAUUGUUAAAUCUUAUAAAUUAUUCAUAAGACUAAUAAAUAGAAGGUAAAAUAAAUAAAUUAAUAUAAAAUUAUUAACUCGUAAAACAAUUAACAUGGUUUUAAUUCAUUUAUUUUAAUGGACUAAAACCGCUGACCAAAAUAAUUAGGAAAUUUGAUUUUUAUCUGUUUUUAAGUCUUGUAUUGGAUUUUGACCGAAUUCGCUAUAAUUAGUUUUCAUUCUAUAAAAUUUUAAUAUUUUAUUUUCAAGUUUAGGAAUAUGUAAUUUGAAGAAUCUUUUUGAGUUGGAUCUAAGCUCAAAUAACUUUGAGGGUCACAUUCCUCAGUGUCUCAACAACUUAACGCAUCUCAAAGUUCUUGAUAUUUCUAAUAAUCAAUUAAGUGGAAAAGUUCCUUCUAUCUUGACCAACCUCACAUCACUUGAAUAUUUAGAUCGUUUUUCCAUUAAUUUCCAAGGAACAGUCUCAAUAAAUUCAUUGGCUAAUCAUUCGAGGUCUUGUUAAUCUCAUCAGGAAGCAAUAUGUUACAAGUGAAAACUGAAACCUGGCACCCCACAUCUCAAUUGAAGGUUCUCAAAUUAUCCGACUGCCACUUACAUGUCAUUCCUAGUUUUCUUUUACAACAGUACCACUUAAAAUUCCUUGACCUCUCUAAUAAUAAGGUGGUUGGCAAUUUCCCAAUUUGGUUGUUCCAAAACAACACAAGAUAAAAAUAUUUGUCUUUGGCGAACAACUCACUCUCAGGAAUUCUUCAUCUACUUCCCAAUGCCAAACACGAUAUGCUUCGUCAUCAAGAUAUUUCCAAUAACAAUUUCGCUGGUAAGCUACCACGGAAUAUGGGUAUUGUCCUUCGGAAAUUGAUUUAUUUGGAUAUGUCAAAAAAAAUUUUUGAAGGUGAUAUUCCUUAUUCAAUAGGUAAGACGAAAGAGUUAUAUAUGCUGGAUUUGUCUAUAAAUAAUUUUUCAGGAGAAUUAGCCCGAUCUAUAGUCUCUACUUGCGUCGCUCUAGAUUUGUUAGACCUAUCAAAUAACAAUUUCUAUGGCCAAAUUUUCCCCAAAUAUAUGAACUGGACUCAUUUGCAUUGGUUAUAUUUGGACAACAAUCAUUUCAGUGGAAAGAUGGAUGACUGUUUGAAGAGCUCCACUUCAUUAGAAGGGUUAGAUAUAUGCGAUAACAUGUUAUCCGAUAAUAUUCCUAAUUGGAUUGGUAACAUCUCAACUCUUAGGGUUCUUUUAAUGUCAAAAAAUUAUUUGGAAGCUAAUAUUCUAGUCCAACUCAGCCAACUUAAAAGUCUUGAGCCUAUAGACAUCUUUGAAAAUAGAUUGUCUGGGUCCAUGGUAUCUUCCUUCAAUCUUUCAUCAGUGAAACACCUUUAUUUGCAGAAGAAUGCUAUUACUGGGUAAAUUCCUAAUGCAUUGUUUAGAAGCUCUAAAUUAAUCACUCUAGAUUUGAGGGAUAAUAAAUUCUUUGGUAGGAUUCCUUAUCAGAUCAAUGAGCUUUCGAAUUUGCAUGUUCUUCUUUUAAGAGGGAAUUCUCUACAAGGACAUAUUCCUAAUGAAUUGUGCCAGUUAGCAAAAUUACGUAUCAUGGAUCUUUCAAAUAACAUAUUUAGUGGGUCAAUACCUUCAUGCUUGGGUAACGUGUCAUUCUGGAGAGAAUGAACUAAUUAUUAUUUGUAUGACUAUGGUUUGCUUGAUGAAUACACAGCGUAUCAGGGUUUCUACAUCGAUUCUAUUGCUACUACUUUCUACAAUUCUACUCUUAAUCUUCAACCGCCCACUGAACCACAUGCCUCAAUAAAUCAAACAGUAGAAGCAGAGCUUUGUGGUUCCUUGAUAAGGAAGAAAUGCAGCAGUAAUUAAAACCACCAGCAACACCAACAGAAGGAGCAGAAGAAGAAGAAGACGAUUCGAUGAUUGAUAUGGUGGCAUUAAAAUGGAGUUUUGGCGCGUCCUUUGUGACAGUUAUUUUGGGUUUGUUUGCAGUCCUUUGGAUAAACUCCUAUUGGCGUAGACGGUGGUUCUAUUUCAUUGAUAAAUGUAUUGACACAUGCUACUAUUGGCUCUUCAAAUAUGCAUUCUAUCGGUGAUUGUGCUAGGCCAUUGUAGUAAGUUCCUACGGGUCUGCCGGGUAUAACUUGUCAUGCUGUGUUACGUAUUCCGUCAGCUUUUCUGCAAACUGCUAUGUAUCAGUGUAUGUGUUUGCUAAAAUUCUUAAUUUGGUCCUAAAACUAUGCUCAAGUUUUGAAGUUCCUUCGAGUGGUUUCGUUAAAAUUAGACUUACUGUUUCUUCUGCAGUUUCUGUUGGUUGCAAAUAUAAAUUUAACAACUUCCUGUUGUAUCUCGAACGUGCUUGUGUUGAUUGAAAGAACAUUGAGACUCGAAAUGCUAUAAUCCGAAUGAGCAAUUUUCCCAAAUACUAUGUUGAUUGUAAUAUGAACGGGAUCUCGCGGUGCCACCGAUAUUUCUUUGUAGAACACCGACUUGCAAGCCAUGGCAGUAACGUUUGGAACCUGGGACUCUUCUUUUGAAGAUGGAAAAACUCCAUUUACCAAAUCGAAAAAUGUUUUUCUAGAAUCAAUAACAACAACCAUUAAAUAACAAUAGGAUGGAAGAACUGCACAUAUCGAAAUAAUGGUUUCUUCUCACUCUGUUCAAGGUGAUUGGGGAAAACAAUAAUUAUCACUCUUUGCUGCCCGUCAUCUCUGAAUUUCUAAAGAUGUAGCAGCUUUACCAAGCAACCCUCCCUCAUUGCCUACUAACUAAACAAGCUGGCCCAAUCUCUGGCCAUAAAUAGUUCAGAAUCUUCUAAAAUUUGAAUCCUGUAUGUGAUCUGUAUAAGCAUGUUAGAUUUCUAUUAUAUAUAUAUAUAUAUAUGCUAGAAAUGGAUGUUAUAAUUGGUGCCUUCAGAGUUCACCAAUUAAAGUACAACUUUACUCUGUAUUCAGUAAAUUUGUGCACUGCCCUGACUUCUAUAUACAAGUUAUUAAUAAUAACUUAUGAAUACGAAUGUAUAUAAAUUAAUUUUCUUUAAUUGGGUAAAUUAAUUUUCUUUAAUUGGGCCAAAAAUGAUAUUUCAAAAGCCCAUAAACAAAAAAAUAAAAUAAGUUUUAUAUAUAAAGCGAAUUAAAAAAGAAAGCACUUACCAUUGCUUUGCAAAAGCACACGGGCAUGAGAGGAAGACAAUGGGAAAAUUUUCAUGAUUUAGGAUUUUUCCAAAAUUGAGUUUGGUCUUUCACAACUUGGAUUCGAGAGUCAUUCUAGAGUACUUUUAUCCCUAAGUUCAUUUGUAAAUUCAUUGGAGAGGAAUUUUAAUGUAGGAAGUGUAGAGAAAGGAUUUGAGUGAGAGGGAACUGAUUCAAGCUUUCAAGUUGAAUUUCUCAUCAAAUGGAAUAAGAUUUCUAUCAUUUUAUCUUUACCUGAAAUUGCAUUUACAUGAAAGUAAAAUUAAUUUAAAGAUUAGUAUACUUUUAUUAUAGUAAGGGCUCCCAACAAAUGGGUGUAGUCCGUCCCAAGCUAAUUUUAGUAAUUGGUGGAUCAUUUUAGGUGGACAAAGGCACCAAGGCAUUAGAGCCAAAAUGUGUAGCCCUCACUAUUUCCUCAAUUCGGUAUGUAAAUAGCUUAUUGUUAUAUAUUAUGUUUGGGUAGUUCAUGGUUAAUAAUGAGAUUGGUGAUAAUGUGGAUGAUUUAUUGGUAUUAUAGGAUAUGGAAAUUUAAUUAUUGAGCUGGAAUAUGGAAUUUUGAGCAUAAGGUGUAAUUGAUGGUUUUGAGAGUAUUAGGGUAAUUUUUAUUUACAAAUAAUGGAUUCGAGAGUUAUAAGCUAUGGGAUAAAUAUUCAUUGUGAAUCAUAUCACAUAAAAUUAGUUGUAUUUCUUAUGUUUGGAAAGUAAUUAUUGAUGGGGAAAAAUCAGGUUUUUAAAUUUUUAUAAAACCUUUUGAAGAUCGCUCUCAUAUAAUAUAUAAGAAUUCGUAUUCUAGAAAUCGUACCUUGUAAAUCUGAGUUUGCUUUUUCCGCUGAAGUGAUUUAGGCUCCUAGAUCACGAUCCGCCACCACCACUCCUGUUAGAUCACGAUCCGUCACCACCACGCUUGUUAGAUCACGAACUGUCUCCAAUGAUCUUCCAGGUUAUGACUCAGGUUCGAUCUGCACUUGACGUGUGGGCGCCUUUAUCACUACCAAAGCAACUAGCACGAGAAAAUUUUUCUCUCAACAAUGGAGAGAAAAAUCUUAUUCUCUGAUUUGUAUAAAGUGGCUUCCCCAUUCCUUUUUGGGAAAAUAAGCCUUAUAUAUCUCCCUUUAGUGAAAACCCUAGGCUCCAAGGAUUCCCCCAAAAUAAAACUCACGUUACUUUUCAUUUAAUAGGGGACCCACCAUGUAAAAUAACAUAAGACCCCUUACACAUAAACUUAUUAAAUGGAGCCUCCCACUAAAUGAUAUAUUUAGGCUUUUGACCCAAAUAGCUAGUUAUCUUGCUUAUUAGUCCAGCAGUGGUGCAAUCAAUUAAAUGAGCUAACCCGGGGAUCAUUUGGGAACAUACAAUAGUGGCUACAAUAAUUAGGCCUGUAAUUAAACUAGCCCAAUUAUUUAAUUCCAAAUCUACUCCACUAAAAGAUUGGAACUGACUUCCAUAAUUGUAUGCUCGAAUAAUAAUUCGUCCCAAGCCACAUUGAUUUCUUUACUGCACAAUCCUUUGUACCACAUCGUUAAUUAAAUUGAUAUCUCAACUGUCCAAUCAAUUUAAUAACAUCUUAUUCCUUGAUCCUUACUGGUUUUCUCUAAUGAUCAUUUUCAACAUACUAAAUAUGUUGACACACUCUGGCCAAAGAAUUCUAUGAUCAAGUACCGAAAACCUAUCAAGAGAUGUGUUGUACAAAUUCUAUAUUGUUAAUCCAUAACUCCAAUACUCAUAAUUGCUCCCACCAAGAUACCGGGUAAUCUUGACCACAAGGAUGUGUCGUGCCCAUUGGUAACUCAAAUGAAAUAACAAUCACAAUCAUGAAAUCAUAAUUAACUCAAGAUUAAGAUUACAGUAAAAUCAACGCCUAUGAGAUUUAAUAAGUCUGACAGUUAUUACAAAGUUAAUUAAAUCUCAUAUGUGAUCCUGUUCAAUGUAGUCGUACUACAUCAAUAAAUUCAUACAUGAUUAAGACAAAUCAUUCAAUGAAUUUAUUACAGUCUAUACCUAAAUAAAGUGCCCAACUUUAUUUAUCAACUGCAAACUAAAUUUAUUUAAUCAUAAGAUAACUUGUAUUUAUGUCUUCUGUGAAUCCACAUGGUGAUCACAUAAAUACAUAUAAUAUGAUUAAAUGGACUUUAAUACAAAUAUUAAUGCAAUUAAGAUAUUUGAAUAAAAUACCUCAUUAAUUUUAUUAAUCAGAAAAAAUAUUUAUUACAAAUAAAUAAACACAUAUGCUUUAAAGAGCAUAUUUUCCCAACAAUCUCCCACUAGCUCUCAAAGCAUAUCUGGCAUAUUGCACAUGCUCUAGGGCUCUAAGUGCAGGUUAUAAAGGUUUCCCACUAAUGGCCAUUGUAAUAAGAUCUGCCAUUUAGCAUCUAAUGCCAUUUGGGGUAUUGUCAUAUAACCUUUCUACACUAUUCCCUUAUAAGAUGAUACUUCCUUUCAAUAUGUUUUGUUUCUUGUGGUUCCUUGGUUCCUUAGAUUGAGCUACCGCACCACCAUUAUCACAAAAUAGUUUAAGGGGUGCAGUUACAACAGGUACCACCUCAAGAUUUCGUAGGAACUUGCAGAGCCAUAUAGCUUCUUUUGCAGCUUCAGAUGUAGCCACAUAUUCAGCUUUAGUUGUUGAGUCUGUGAUACAAGAUUGUUUCACACUCAUCCAACUAGUAGCUCCACUUCCCAAUGUAAACACAUAGCCGGAAGUUGAUUUUCUAAAAUCCUUAUCUGACAAAAAAUCAGAAUUAGUAUAACCCACUAGAAUAAGUUCAUCACCAGAAUACACAAGCAUAUAAUUUUAAGUUCUUUUCAGAUACUUCAUUAUAUGCUUGACCGCAGUCCAGUGUUCAGGUCCAGGAUUAGAUUGAUAUCUACUAACCAUCCCUACCGCAAAACAGAUGUCUGGCCUAGUGCAAAGCAUGGCAUUCAUGAGACUUCCCACAGCUUCUGCAUAGGGAACUCGUCUCAUUCUCUCUAUCUCUUCAGAUGUUUUAGGUGAUUGAUCCUUAGAGAAUGUAAUUCCAUGUCUGAAUGGUAAUAAACCAGUCUUGGAAUUUUCCAUACUAAAUCUAGCCAAUAUCUUAUCGAUAUAGACCGCUUGAGACAAGGCUAAAGUUUUAUUCUUCCGGUCUCAUAGUAACUUGAUACCAAGAAUAUAACUUGUCUCUCCCAGGUCUUUCAUAUCAAAUUGUUUUGCUAACCAAAUCUUUAUUGUAGUCAAUACUCCUAUAUCGUUUCCAAUCAGGAGAAUAUUGUCUACACAAAGAACUAGGAAGGCUACAAAUUUUCCCUGAAUUUUCUUGUACACACAUGGUUCAUCAAUGUUCUGAAUGAAUCCAAGUGAUUUAAUCGCUUGAUCAAAUCUGAUGUUCCAUGACUGGGAUGCUUGCUUCAAUCCAUAAAUAGAUCUCUGCAACUUACAUACCAUGUGUUCUUGGCCUUUUUUGUAUAAAUCCAUCUGGUUGCUGUAUGUAGAUGUUUUCUUCAAGAUGCCUGUUAAGAAAGGCAGUCUUGACAUCCAUUUGCCAAAUUUCAUAAUCUAGCACUGCAGCAAUGGAGAGCAGAAUCCUGAUGGAUUUAAGCAUAGCAACCGGAGAAAAAGUUUCCUCAUAAUUGAUUCAUUCUUUCUGAGUAAACCCUUCGGCUACUAAUCUUGCUUUAAAUGUUUCCACAUUUCCGUCUACUCCUCUUUUUCUCUUGUAGAUCCACUUGCACCCUAUAGGUUUUACCCCAUUUGGCGCCUCUACAAGUUCCCAGACUUUAUUGGAAUACAUAGAUUCCAUUUCUUGAUUCAUGGCCUUUUUCAAAAUUCAACAUCUCUAUCUAUUAGAGCUUCGUUGUAACUAGUGGGAUCUUGUACAUGUUCAUCUGAGAUAGCCAUAUAGGUUUCUCCCAAAAAUAUGUAUCUCGCAGGUAACCUAGUUACCCUCCCACUACGACAAGGUUCUAAAAGUGAUGGUUGUUCAAGGAUAAUCCUGUGCUGAUCAGCUGGUUGUUGCUGUUCUUCCUGUUCUAUAACAGGUGUUGAAAGCUGAGCAUCAACCUGAUCUCUUUUAUUUCUCUAGUUUUACCUUACUCUUAGGUUAUAAGUCAUUAUAGAGUCUUCCUCAAAGAAAGUAAAGAAUAUUUCUAUAAAUACAUUCCUAUCUUGAGGACUAUAAUUCAGACUUUCCCUUAUUCCUUUAAGAUACCUAAAACAUGCAAGCUUCUGAACACGAAUCCAUCUUGUCUAUCUCUGAUUCUAGUAGAAAUACUAGUAAACUCCAAAUACGAAUGUGUCUCAAACCAUGUUUGUGACUUUUUCAUAAUUUCUUGGAGUAGUAGACACCGAGAUAGAUGAAACUAAGUUCAAUAAACUUUGUAGUUUUAAAUACUAGUAUCUGGAAUCAAAAAGGUAAAUGAUAAACCACUUAGUAUAUAUCUUGUCUUAUCCAAAAGAAUCUUGUUUCUCCAUUUAAUUACACUAUUGUAUCAUAGUGUUCAUUGACAACCAAAUAGUGCUUGAAUUCUCCAUAGAGAUAUUCUUUGUUUCGAUCAUAUCGAAGUUCUUUUAUGUUCCUGUCUAAUUGCUUCUGUCUUAUCCACGUACUCUUUUGAAUUUCAAAAGCAAUGGAAUCAUGACGCAUUUAGACAAACAUAAAUAAAAUGAAUAUUCAUCAACAAGAUUGAUAGAAUACUCAUAUCCUCUUAUAACAUGUAAACUGAUUAGUCCGUAUACAUUUGUAUGCGCUAAAUCAUCAAAUACAAUGUUAUGCUUUUAGCUCAAAAAGAGCAUCUUUGUCAUAUUACUUUUCUAAAUAAGAUUUAUAGAGUUACAAUGAUCAAUCUUAAUAGGCCAACAAGUCUAUCAUUAAUCAUUUUCUUAAAAUCUUAUUAUAGUUUAUAUGACUUAAGCAUAAAUAUCAGAGGUGAUUCUUGGUUAGAAGAAACAUUUCUUUUCUUAGAUAAAUGCAUAUACUUUUUAUCAUUAUAUCUUACUUUGAACAGAUCAAUGUACUUCUAUGAUAUAAAUUGUCUUUAUAAAUAACCAAAAUAAGUAAUAAACAGAGGAUCCAUAAAUAACAGUGUACUCCUGUUUAUUAAAACAAGCCACUGAAAUUAAAUUCCUCUAAUAUUUGGAAAAAUAAAGACAAAUAUCAAAACUAAAGUCUUGUAAAAUUGAUCUAGUCUUUCAAUUGAUAUAAACUAGCACAUCCUCAACUGCUAUUUGAAGCUUUCUUCACUUAAUCUCUUGGUUUCCUGAAAACCAAAUAAAUGAAUUACAAAUAAGAUUAGUUAUCUCAGAAUUCAUUAUUGUAUGAAUCAAUAGAAAUAUGAACUAAUUAGGAAGCUUAAAGAUUUCCUAUACCUGAUUUUAAUAAUCUUAGGACAAUCUUUCUUCCAGUGACCCUUCUGUCCACAUUUGUAACACUUGCCUUUUGGCUUGCCACUUCUUUUAAUGGACAGUUUGCCGAUCCCAACUCUUGCUUGCUCAUUCUUGUCUUUUGACUUAAGCCUUGAAGAGAAUCCUUUUUCAGGAAGUUUUCUGCUAUGAUAAAAUUCUUCUAUAGCAUGUAGUUCGUGCAUUAAUUCAAUUAAGGUCAUAUCUUUAUUGUUUAAGAUAUAGCUGACCUUAAACUCUUUGAAUGUAUCAGGUAAAGAUUCAAUCACCAUGUUAAUCUUUGAUUUAUCAUUGAUUUGAACACCAUGAAUCUCUACCUCAUUCAAAUAGUCCAUCAUUUUGAGGACAUGAUCACGAACUUUUGUGCCCUCUUCCAUCUGAGUAUCCGUAAUACGUUUUAAUGCUGCUUCUCUGGCAAAAUGGGUAUUUUGCCCAAACAUCUGAUGCAGACUAGCCAUUAUUUCAGUGGCUGUUUCCAUGCUCCGAUGUUUCUUAUGCAGUUCCACAGAAAUCGAAGCCAAUAUAUAGCGCUUAGCCAUUUUGUUAGCUUCGCACCAUUUCUCAUAAGGCUCCCUCUGAUUUCUAUAAUCGUAUAACGAUGGUUCAGGAGGGCAAGGCUGGGUCAACACAUAUUUGCUUCCCUUAGCAGUGAGAAUAUUAAAUAGAUUGCGUUUCCAAUCUAAAUAAUUUUCGCCAGUGAGUUCAUUUUUAACAAGGAUAAAUAAUAAUGGGUUGAUGGAAGACAUUUUCUGAAAAAAACAAAAUACACAUGCAUAAAUACUUUGAAACAAUAUUCACAAUAAAUGACAAAAAUGCAAAAAACCAUAAAUGCAUUUUAAUUUAUUGUAACGAUAAUCUAGUACCGCUUUGACAAGCUAUUCGUUGGGGAAGUCAUGUCUACACUUACUAGACCCAAUUAUCCAUUGGAUUAUUUACUUUCAUGUAGAGACAUGAUAAAUAAUUAUCGUUAUCCCUUUGGACCUAAAUUUGUUAACAGAGCUUCGUUGGGAAGGUUAAUAACAAACUUUAGUUGAGUGUAUAACCAUUGUUUCAAUCUACGUAUUUUUCAUAUCAAUAGUCACCGUUGGGGUGAACAAUCGAUUGAAAAAUAUUUCAAUUUUAUCUUUGAAGAAGUUCAUCAAAUAAAAUAUCUAAUAUAUAUACCCUCCGAAGGGAGCAUCACCGUAUCAUGAAGUCGAGGUAUAUAUAUAAUUUUAUUAUUGAACUAACAAUGGAGCCCGUGGGAAAAUUAUCUUGAAUUUUCCCUCUCCCACUCAAUAUUUUAAAAUUGGUUUUUCCUUUUUAAAACAUACAUAUUGUUAAUUGCAUGCUUCCUAUAAUAUUAUCUAGAUGAUAUCAAAUAUUAUUAAGCAUAUACAAAUUUCAAACAAUAUAAUGAAAUUCAUUAUUAAUGAAUGACAUGUAUCAUUAUGCAUAGAGUGGCACUACCUAUUCUAUAUGACAUGUUAUCAUGGCAUGUUAUCAUCCAAAACAUAACAUAUAGAAAAACUAUUAAAUAAUCUUAAUUCAUGGCUUUCCUAAUAAUGAAAAAUACAUUAACCCUAAGCCUAAUCUUCAUUGGGCUUCUUGUCAAUGUCCAUCUUCCAUAAGCUUGUUUUUGUUAAUGGACUAGGGGAAAUUGAGCUUUUAAAUUUAUAAUUGGUCCAAUUUUAAUUUUGAAAGGAAAUAAAUAAAUAAAUUAUUUUAUUUUUAUUUUAUUUUUUUUUAUUAAAAUAAAACUUUUGGACCAAAAAUAAAUUUAAUGUAUUUAAUUUUGUCUAUGCAUUUUUAAUCCAUUAAGCCCAAAUAUCAAUUGGGCCUAAAACUAGGAUUCUUUAAGCCCAAAACUAUUUUUAGACUUAAAUGCAAAAAAUUAAAACUUGACUGCCCAAGUGAAAAAUUAUGGAACCAUAGGGACCUCCAUGAUAAAAGCCAUGAAACCCUAAAUCCAUAUUUUUCUUUCUUUCUUCUUCCCCAGCCGCCAUCUCCAAAAUCCUCCUUCACUGUUCAGACGCCAGCCGACCUCCGACGCCGACGCCGACGCCAAACCAACUGCUGCCGCCUGGCCGGAAAACGUGCCAAAACCCGCGCGCAACUUUCUGCUGGCCUCGGCAGCGUUGCUUCCAGCUGCAGCACAUGCAGCGCGCGCUGCUGGCCACGCUGGCCGCGCGCGCUGCUUGCUGCGCACAGCGCAGCGCGCGCCGCUGGCCAAUGUUGGCCGCGCGCGCUGCUUUGCUGCGCACAGCGCAGCGCGCGAUGCUGGCCAUUGCUGGCCGCGCACGCUGCUGCAGCAUGCCCUGGUUUGCUGCCGCUGUCAUAAUUUCCGGCCUCCGUCGCUCCGAUCUUGAAAAUCUGAGAUUAAUUUACAAAUUUCCUAGACCAAUUUUGGCUUACAAAAAUUCUAUAACUGUAAAAUAAAUCAAGAGGGAAACAUGGUGAUAAAAAACCACCCCUCUUGUUACAGAUUCAAAGAACAAUACAAAAGAAAAUCUAACCAUGAAUUAAGACAAACCAUAAGCAUGCUUUAUUCAUAUAUUAAAUAAAUAAUAUACAUCUGAAUAAAUUGUGCCACUCUAAUACAUAAAUUUCAAGAUUAAUUUCAUACGAAAUUCUUAUAUAUUAAUAUGAGAUGGCUCUGAUACCAAUUGAUGGGGAAAAAUCAGGUUUUUAAAUUUUUAUAAAACCUUUUGAAGAUCGCUCUCAUAUAAUAUAUAAGAAUUCGUAUUCUAGAAAUCGUACCUUGUAAAUCUGAGUUUGCUUUUUCCGCUGAAGUGAUUUAGGCUCCUAGAUCACGAUCCGCCACCACCACUCCUGUUAGAUCACGAUCCGUCACCACCACGCUUGUUAGAUCACGAACUGUCUCCAAUGAUCUUCCAGGUUAUGACUCAGGUUCGAUCUGCACUUGACGUGUGGGCGCCUUUAUCACUACCAAAGCAACUAGCACGAGAAAAUUUUUCUCUCAACAAUGGAGAGAAAAAUCUUAUUCUCUGAUUUGUAUAAAGUGGCUUCCCCAUUCCUUUUUGGGAAAAUAAGCCUUAUAUAUCUCCCUUUAGUGAAAACCCUAGGCUCCAAGGAUUCCCCCAAAAUAAAACUCACGUUACUUUUCAUUUAAUAGGGGACCCACCAUGUAAAAUAACAUAAGACCCCUUACACAUAAGCUUAUUAAAUGGAGCCUCCCACUAAAUGAUAUAUUUAGGCUUUUGACCCAAAUAGCUAGUUAUCUUGCUUAUUAGUCCAGCAGUGGUGCAAUCAAUUAAAUGAGCUAACCCGGGGAUCAUUUGGGAACAUACAAUAGUGGCUACAAUAAUUAGGCCUGUAAUUAAACUAGCCCAAUUAUUUAAUUCCAAAUCUACUCCACUAAAAGAUUGGAACUGACUUCCAUAAUUGUAUGCUCGAAUAAUAAUUCGUCCCAAGCCACAUUGAUUUCUUUACUGCACAAUCCUUUGUACCACAUCGUUAAUUAAAUUGAUAUCUCAACUGUCCAAUCAAUUUAAUAACAUCUUAUUCCUUGAUCCUUACUGGUUUUCUCUAAUGAUCAUUUUCAACAUACUAAAUAUGUUGACACACUCUGGCCAGAGAAUUCUAUGAUCAAGUACCGAAAACCUAUCAAGAGAUGUGUUGUACAAAUUCUAUAUUGUUAAUCCAUAACUCCAAUACUCAUAAUUGCUCCCACCAAGAUACCGGGUAAUCUUGACCACAAGGAUGUGUCGUGCCCAUUGGUAACUCAAAUGAAAUAACAAUCACAAUCAUGAAAUCAUAAUUAACUCAAGAUUAAGAUUACAGUAAAAUCAACGCCUAUGAGAUUUAAUAAGUCUGACAGUUAUUACAAAGUUAAUUAAAUCUCAUAUGUGAUCCUGUUCAAUGUAGUCGUACUACAUCAAUAAAUUCAUACAUGAUUAAGACAAAUCAUUCAAUGAAUUUAUUACAGUCUAUACCUAAAUAAAGUGCCCAACUUUAUUUAUCAACUGCGAACUAAAUUUAUUUAAUCAUAAGAUAACUUGUAUUUAUGUCUUCUGUGAAUCCACAUGGUGAUCACAUAAAUACAUAUAAUAUGAUUAAAUGGACUUUAAUACAAAUAUUAAUGCAAUUAAGAUAUUUGAAUAAAAUACCUCAUUAAUUUUAUUAAUCAGAAAAAAUAUUUAUUACAAAUAAAUAAACACAUAUGCUUUAAAGAGCAUAUUUUCCCAACAAUUAUGACAUUUCCUUGAUAUAGGAGGAGCCACGAACAUCAAUUCGCAGACAUCGACAAUAACCAAACUUGAGCAUCAUCGUUGUUAGUUACACCUGUAGCCAAAUUUAUGACCUUUGGAAGAUACCCUACUCAUUCUACGCAACCAUCCUACAUCAUGCCAAAGUUAGUUACAUGGGACACGCGUGAUCUCUUCGUUAAUGGUCUUGAUUCACACACCUAAGAAUUAUGUUCAGCCUUGCACUAUUAAUAUCACUUAUAAAUUAUGAUCCAUGAAAUCCUCUGUUUUUAGUUUCUCUGCACUCUUUUAUCAUAAUUAUUUUUUUUAACAUUUUCUCUGUAAGCAAAAAUUGGCGUUCAACAAUUAAUAAGAGUUGUAACAGAGGAAAAUCCAGCAAUAACAUCCAAUCGAGGAGAAGACGAGGAUGAAUCUGCAAUUAAGAUGAAUCCUUUGGUUGAACUCGUAUUGGCAGUGGCCACGGUUAUCUUUCAUUGAUGCAUGUACUGAUUGUUGUUUAUAUUGGCUUCUAAAAUCUGUCUAUUUCAUCCGUGAUCUUGCUAGGCCAUAGUUUACCGUUAUCCUUCUUUUAUGUGUAAUUGAACUUUUAUGUGUUAAUUUUUAGUUCAUUGCUUUCAAGCUCGGUUCUUGAAAAAUAUACUAAUUUUUAUGCCUUGUGCAAUUCAUUUGCUAUAUGAAUCUGACGCAUUUCUCGUACCUGAGGUCUUAAGACCAGAGUGAAGGCCUGAAUAUUUCAUGUACAGGUGCCUGUUGGUGAUUUUGAUUUAGAAUUAUGGAUUUUGAAUGUUCAACCUUGCGCAUUUGCACUAGGAAUAUCAAUUAGGACAUGACGAAUGAAAUCCUCUGUUUUUAGUUUCUCUGCCCUCUUUUACUUUCUUUCACAGUUACAUUUUUCCUGUAAACAAAAAUUUGUCUCUAAGUUUUCAUUCACAUAUUUGUAAUUCAUCGUUAAUGUUAAAAAUUUAAGUGGCUAAAAACAUCCAAAAGUUGCGUGCAAUUGUCAUAUUAUGUUAAUGAUGAAUUAGCUUAUUUUUCUUUAGCUUUCCUCUAUCUUUCUUCGAGUACUGAUAUUUGAACACUAUCAAGAAACCACCAAGAUAAAAAAAUCAGUAUUGUUUACUGUAUCUUUCUUUUAUGAGUAGUUAAUUAUGCCUUGUUGUGCAAUUCAUUUGCCAUAUGAAUCUGAAGAAUUUAUUGUGCAUUGUGUUCUUAAGACUAUGGAGUGAAGGCCUUCACAGAACUAGCUCAAGAUGGCGCCAACAUUAGUUACAUGUGACACGCGGGACGUCUCUGUUAAUUAUUUUGAUUCACACGCCAAAGAAUUAUAUUGAGCCUUGCACUCUUUUAUUUUAUUUUUUGAACAUUUUCUCUGUGAACAAAUUUUGGUUUCUAAGUUUUCCUUGACAUAUCUGUAAUUUAUCAUUAAUGUUGAAAUUUCGGAGGCUAAAAACAUCCAAAAUUUGUGUGCAAUUAUCGUAUUGAGUUACUGAUGAAUCAGCUUAUUUUUCUUUAGCAUUCCCCUUUUUUCCUUUUCAUUUUGCUUAACUUUUCCUUCAUUCAAAUUCUUUCACUGUGCGGCUGUGGUCCUCAAACUCAAUUAUGAUAUUUACUAGUCGUGCGUCGAAUGUGGCUCUGAUUGAUGAUACGAUUGCUUGGUUGUGUUCAUAAACUUGACUAUGGGUUAACAUUAACACACAUCCUCCAUGUUCCAUCAACUAGCAAAACCGGAACUGUGCAUAGACUCAUGCUUUCUCUCCCGUACCCUUUUAUGACCCCUGUCCCCAGUUAGUUGACAGAAUACGUCAAUUGAAGGUUGCCUUGCAGUGUGCAUGUUUGAUUAUAAUUAUUGUAGAAUAAGGACUCCCUGAUCACAAGUCAAUGAAAUUGCAGAAAGCCUAUGAUCAUUGAAUGCUAAUUCCAUCUUACUGGCGUAGACAAUGGUUUAAUAAAUCUUUCGUAAAUUUCCUCAUCGCUUCCUAUGUCACAAUGAUAUUGGUGUAGCCGGUGAUUUUAGAUAAACUCAUACCAGCGUACAUUAUGGUUUUAUUAUUAAUUGAUGGACGAACCAAUUCAUGUUUCUAAAAAAAAAAAAAAAAGAAAGAAAGAAAGAAAAUCAUAUUGGCUUGUAUAUUUUAUUGCAAAAUAUACAAGCCCUUGUACACACCGGAUAAAUUUCUACCAAUACUAUACUAUACUUGUAAAGAGAGUUCAAAGAGCCAUAUUAGCACUUCCUGGAACUAUAUUAUUCAUCAAUUUUUUUUAUAAUAAUUAUAUUUUUUUAUUUUGGUUUGAGUACUUCAUAUCUCUGAAUAUAUAUAUAUAUCACCAGUCAAAGAUAUGUGAUUCACAUUUGACUUUAGCGAAAUAAAAAGUUGUUUUGCAAUGGAAGUACUUCCUUCAUUAAGUUCUCAUUAACCUCACUACUUUGGAUUGUUGUUUUGGAUGAAAUCCAGGUAUGCAAGGCUUGCUUGGAAGCUGAGAUGACGAAGCUCUUAGUUCAUGAUUUGACGAUGAUGAAGGAAUGUCGUCUGAUUGCUGUGAUGAUUGGGAGGGAGCGACGGAUCUCUUCUCAAUAAAAUAACGGAAUUCAACUAUUCUCAAUACAGGAAUAAAUUAUUUGAUUAUUUCAAACCCAGGCUUACGCUAAAUUAUCUCAAUUAACUUUCAUUUUAUUAGUUGACUAUCUCAAUCAACUGUUGACUAUCUCGACCAACUGGCUCCAAGUUGGCUUGUUUUCCACGGAGUAUUAAUGAAGCACUUUUCCUCAUUGGUCCAAGCCUUAUAAGUCUUCGUUAGUCAUUACAAUUCAAUGCUUGCAUAGAUUAAUUAUUUGAUAAUUCCAUGCAAAUCCAAUCAUACAAUUCAAUAGAAAAUAAUUAUCGUAAUUUUAGAAAGACAGUUUUGAAACAGUAAUUGAAAGUAUUCAUUUGAACUUUUUAUAUUUACAGAGAAAAGUCUAUUGGUGCUAGUUUCCAAUUCAUAAAAAUAAGUCAUCCGUGAAACACGCUUUGAAACUGGUUAGGCAGGAUGCAAAGUAGAACGUGAUCACCACUCAACCAUCUUUAACAUAAAAACGUACACUCCACGCUUGACUUGUAAAAGCUGGGCAUUUUCCAUGCUUUCAAGAAUGCUGAUCAAAUUAGCCACUCGGCCUUUGGCCGAGUGGUGAGAGCUGCUGCUCUCCAAUGUGGAGAGCAGCGGUUCGAACCCCCACAAUGCAUUGUGGGGGUAUUUCCUUCCUCAAUUAAAUUUGAGUGAAGGCAGUCUGCUUCCCUGCCCCAGUGCGAGGAGUAGACAUCCCUCGAAUAUUUGAGAGGGUUAAAAUCUGGGCAGCGCUCCAUUAGCAUUGAUGUAUGUUGGUCCUAGUUAUAGUCUGAUUUGUAAAUAUCAGUUAUAUUCUCAUGUAAUAUGAGUUGUACUUUGAGCAAUAGUCUCCUGUAAUUUGAGCAAUAGUCUCAUGUAAUCAAAAAAAAAAAAAAAAGAAUGCUGAUCAAAUUGGGGACGCAAUGGAUAAUUCUUGAUGAUUUAUUGGUUGACUGACUCUAUCACUAAUUUUAAAUUUAAAAAAUAUAGAAAAAUAUUUGAAAACCAAUAUUUUUACAUUUUUCCUUACAAGUUUGAAAUUUGAUUUCUAUAAUGAAAUAUUUCUAUUAGCUAUUAAAUUUAUCAUAAUUUUAGAAAGGCAUUUUUGAAAUAGUAAUUGAAACUCUUAGUUCAUGGUUUGAUGAUGAUGAAGGAUUGUCGUCUGAUUGCUGUGAUGAUUGGGAGGGAGUGAUGGAUCUCUUCUCAAUAAAUAAAAUAACGGAAUUCAACUCUUCCCAAUACUGGAAUAAAUUAUUUGAUUAUUUCAAACCCAAACUUACGCUUAAAUUUUGAAAAUGAUCUCAAUUAACUUUUUUUUUAUUAGUUGACUAUCUCAAUCAAUUGUUGACUAUCUCGAUCAACUGCUUCCAAGCUGGCUUGUUUUCCACGGCGUAUUAAUGAAGCAUUUUUCCUCAUUGGUCCAAGCCUUAUAAGUCUUCGUUAGUCAUUACAAUUCAAUGAGUGCACAGAUUAUUUGAUAAUUCAAUAGAAACGCAAUCACUCCCUUAAAUUAAUUAAAGGGAAAUUAUAAAGCCCUCCUCCUUUGGUUUAACCUAUCAGAAAUACUAAAAAGUUUGAAUUUAUUUAUUUUUCUUCUUAUGUUUUUAAUUUGUAUCAACCAACCAUCAAAAGAACAGAAAAAUUCAUACAAAAUUACCACUAUUGCCAUUUGUAUUUGUUUCUGUACUGUCAUUUCAUAAGUGUAAUUCUAUCUUUUUAUUAGAUGACGAAUACAAAUUGUAAACUUAAGGCAAAAAAUGAAUAAAUGAUAAACUUAAGACGGAUAGUUGAUAAUUUUCCUUAUCUAAAUUCUUAAUCAAUUUUUGUUUUAUAGCAUUGGCGGUCUCCAUCAAUUAGUAGAGGAAAAAUAAUAGACAGCCACUUGUUUGUUGCUUAAUUUGAAAGUCAAUCAGCUUUAAUUUUCCCCGGAAUUAUGGAUUUUGAAUGUUCAACCUUGUGCAUUUGCACUAGGAAUAUCAGUUAUGAAUGACGAAUGGAAUCCUCUGUUUUUAGUCUCUCUUCUCUCUUUUACUUUCUUUCACAGUUACAUUUUUUCUGCAAACAAAAAUUCAUUCACAUAUUUGUAAUUUAUCAUUAAUGUUAAAAAUUUCGGUGGCUAAUAACAUCCAAGAGUUGCGUGCAAUGGUCAUAUUGUGCUAAUGAUGAAUUAGCUUAUUUUUCUUUAGCCUUCCUCUAUCUUUCUUCGAGUACUGAUAUUUGAGCACUAUCAAGAAACCAUCAAGAUAGAAAAACGAGUAUUGUUUAUACUUCAAUACCACCAGAAUGCACAAAACGACGGUACCAGGCUAUAGUUUACUGCAUCUUUCUUUUAUGAGUAAUUGAACUUUUUAUGUAUUAAUUAUAGUUGGUUGCUUUCAAGCGGGGUUUAUGCCUUGUCGUGCAAUUCAUUUGCCAUAUGCAUCAGAAGAAUUUAUUGUGCAUCGUGUUCUUAAGACCAUGGAGUGAAGGCCUUAACAGAAGUAGCUCAAGAUGGCGCCAAAGUUAGUUACAUGUGACACGCGAGACAGUCUCUGUUAAUUAUUUUGAUUCACAAGCCAAAGAAUUAUAUUGAGCCUUGCACUCCUUUAAUUUAUUUUUUGAGCAUUUUCUCUGUGAACACAAGUUGGUUUCUAAGUUUUCCUUGACAUAUCUGUAAUUUAUCAUUAAUGUUGAAAUUUCGAAGGCUAAAAACAUCCGAAAGUUGUGCGCAAUUGUCAUAUUGAGUUAUUUUCUUUAGCUUUCCCCUCUUUUCCUUUUCAUUUUCCUUUACUUUUCCUUCAUUCAAAUUCGAUGAAUCAGCUUAUUUUUCUUUAGCAUUCCCUCUUUUCCUUUUCAUUUUCCUUUACUUUUCCUUCAUUCAAAUUCGAUGAAUCAGCUCAUUUUUCUUUAGCAUUCCCCUCUUUUCCUUUUCAUUUUCCUUUACUUUUCCUUCACUCAAAUUCUUUCACUGUGCGGCUGUGGUCCUCAAUUAUGAUAUUUACUAGUCGUGCGUUGAAUCUGGCUUUGAUUGAUGAUACGAUUGCUUGAUUGUGUUCAUAAGCUGGACUAUUGGUUAAUGUCAACACACAUCCUCUAUGUUCCAUCCUUCUUAGGAACUAGCAAAAUUGGAAUUGUGCACUGACUCAUGAUUUCUCUCACGUACCCUUUAUGACCCCUGUCCCCAGGUUAGUUGACAGAAUACGUCAAUCGAAGGUUGCCUUGCAGUGUGCGUGUUUGAUUAUAAUUAUCGUAGGAUAAGGACUCCCUGGUCACAAGUCAAUGAAAUUGCAGCAAGUCUCUGAUCAUUGGAUGCUAAUUUCCUCUUACUGGCGUAGACUAUGGUUUAAUAAAUAUUUCGUAAAUUUCCUCAUCGCUUCCUAUGUCACAAUGAUAUUGGUGUAGCCGGUGACUUUGGAUAAACUCAUAUUGGCGUACAUUAUGGUUUUAUUAUUAAUUGAUGGACGUACUAAUUCAUGUUUCUAUUGGCUUUGCAAAAAGAAAGAAAUCUCACUUUAUUGUAAAAUAUACAAGCCCUUAUACACACCGGAGAAAUUUCUACCAAUACUGUACUAUACUUGUAAAGAGAGUUCAAAGAGCCAUAUUAGCACUUCCUGGAACUAUAUUAUUCAUCAAUUUUUUUAUACUAAUAAUAAUUUUUUUUUUUUUAGUUUGAGUACUUCAUAUCUCUGAAUACAUAUAUAUAUUACCAGUCAAAGAUAUUUAAUUCACAUUUAACAUUAGCCAAAUAAAAAGUUGUUUUGCAAUGGAAGUACUUCCUUCAUUAAGUUCUCAUUAACGUCACUACUUUGGAUUAAUGUUGUUCUGGAUGAAAUGCAUGGAUGCAAAGCUUGCUUAGAAAUCAAAAGCUUCUUCAUAUCAGCUAUUGAUAUUGGAUACGAUGACGAAGCUCUUAGUUCAUGGUUUGAUAAUGAUGAAGGAAUGUCGUCUGAUUGCUGUGAUGAUUGGGAAUGAGCGAUGGAUCUCUUCUCAAUAAAAUAACGGAAUUCAACUCUUCUCAAUACUGGAAUAAAUUAUUUGAUUAUUUCAAACCCAAACUUACGCUUAAAUUUUGAAAAUGAUCUCAAUUAACUUUUUUUUUAUUAGUUGACUAUCUCAAUCAAUUGUUGACUAUCUCGAUCAACUGUUCCAAGCUGGCUUGUUUUCCACGGCGUAUUAAUGAAGCAUUUUUCCUCAUUGGUCCAAGCCUUAUAAGUCUUCGUUAGUCAUUACAAUUCCAUGCUUGCAUAGAUUAUUUGAUAAUUCAAUGCAAAUCCAAGUAUACAAUUUAAUAGAAACCCAAUCACACCCUUAAAUUAUUUAAAGGGAAAUUAUAAAGCCCUCCUCCUUUGGUUUAGCCUGUUAUCAGAAAUACUAAAAAAAUUGAAUUUAUUUAUUUUUCAUCUUAUGUUUUUAAUUUGUAUCAACCAUUUAUGAAAAGGACGUAAAAAUUCAUGCAAAAUUACCACUAUUGCUAUUUGUGUUUGUUUCUAUAUUGUCAUUUCAUAAGUGUAAUUCUAUCUUUUUAGUAGAUGACUAAUACGAAUCACAAACUUAAGGCGAAAAAUGAAUAAAUGAUAAACUUAGGACGGAUAAUUGAUAAUUUUCCUUAUUUAAAUUCUUAAUCAAUUUUUGUUUUACAGCAUCGGCGGUCUCCAUCAAUUGGUAGAGGAAAAAUAGUAGACAGCCAAUUGUUUGUUGCUUAAUUUUCCAGUCAAUCAGCUUUAAUUUUCGAGAAAUUUACACCAAUAGCCAUAAAAAUUUUGGCUUUUUCCAUCUUAACCCCCCAAACAAACUUCUAUCAACAUUACUACAUUAGCCAUAAAAAAGCCUUUGAGGCCAAAAUACCCCUCUCUCUCAUCUCCACAAUGUUGGUGAGCUUGCCUUGGCGCAACAACUCGCCGAUUCUGUCAAGCCUUUAAAUCAGCCAUGGCGGCAGUAGAAACACGCUCCAUUUCGGAAAUGGCGUCGUCAGAGAUUCUGGACUCGGUUUCACUGACCUCGUAAUCUUCAAGAUCAGAGAAGCUCACUCUGGAGGCCCUGGAAGAGGAGACGGAGACAGACUCAUGGUCGAGAUACUCUCCGUUGAUCUUCAGCAUCUGAUAAAACUCCCUUUUCGAGUCUUUUCAUGGUGGUUUGCAUUAGGGUUUGGGCGAGGACGAGCUUGUCAGAAAUAGUGCAUGGCGAUCUGCAAGUCGUAGACGGCUUUGAGGUAGUCCUUGGCGUCUUGGCAGUUGUCGGAGGAGAAGAGAGAAGAGAUGUUGCAUCAUAGAGAGGUAUCGUCCCAUUUGGUGAUGAGAGAGCGGGCAAUUUGGAUGUUCUCGUCCAUUAAAGAAUCGGAGAAUGUGACCCGUUGAGGCGACGAUGAAGGUGUGCCCGCCGUCAGAGAUGUGGAUGGUUUGAAGAAUAUGUCGCACUGCACCUGUCGCACCAAGCAAGGCUUUGCGCUUGGUGCGACAGGUGCCUGUCGCUCGAAGCUUCGUGCGACAGGCAACCUGUCGCCAGAUUCACCCCGACUCACAGUUCACUGAAACUCUCGAGCAAGUUCAGAAAAUAACUCAUACCACUAUGUGAUGCCGAUUAGUGUUGGAUCCGGAUAGAUUAUUAUCAGAUUUCACUUUUAUCGUUGCCUUUUGCUGUCGCUGUUGGUUGAUGAUUCAAGAGUGGAAAGCUACCUUUGGUUUGACGAAAGGGGAGAAAAAAAGUUGCUUUUGGUUUGUAAAGAAGGGUAAUUUGGGAAGAAAAGCGUGUGUUUGGCUAAUGUUGAUAGAAAAAAGUUGAGAGGGUUAAUUGUGAAAAUAGCAAAAAUUUUAUGGUUAUUUUUGUAAAUUUCCCUUAAUUUUCCCCGUAGUUGUAAUAAUAUAUGGGAAAUUUGAUAAAUUGAACCUCUGUACAUCUGUCCCAAGUUCCUAUGAAAUUUCUCUUUUUGUCAUUUCAAGUGAUUGUAAUAGUAGUAGAGUUGCAGAUUGAGAACAAUCGAAACUUAAUUUCCCUAUUAAGGUUUACCAAUAUAUUUGAUUUUAAUAGCUUUGAUUCAAAUGCAUGAACUUGAGGAGUCACAAAAGCUUCAAAUAACAUUUAUGUGUUGGUCAUUUUAUAGUACAUCACACUUUUAUGAGUAAUUAAACUAAUAAAUUAAACUUAUCAAACAUCCAAACAAAUUCUUCACAAAACAUAUUAUUUAAUAGAUUAACUGAUAAUCCAAUGCAAACCCAGAUAUAAGGAUAAAUUAUUUAAAUUCCCUCACACAACUUUUAUUUUAUUAGUCACGACUAUCUCCAUCCAACUGUUGGAGAAAAUAUACACUUUUAUGAGUAAUUAAACUAAUAAAUUAAACUUAUCAAACAUCCAAACAAAUUCUUCACAAAACAUAUUAUUUAAUAGAUUAACUGAUAAUCCAAUGCAAACCCAGAUAUAAGGAUAAAUUAUUUAAAUUCCCUCACAUAACUUUUAUUUUAUUAGUCACGACUAUCUCCAUCCAACUGUUGGAGAAAAUAUAGUUUACAGUCGCUUGUUUGUUGGCUUAAUUCGAGGGUCCCUCAACUUUAAUUUUUUUUUUACGGAGUAUUAGUGAAGUUCUUUUUUUUUUUUUCUCCUCGGUCGAUGUUGCAAUAUAUAUGUAAUUUCAAGGUUACAAGUCUUCACCAAAGACAAAGACUUCAAGAUAGCGGUGUUAUAAUGUAUCGACAAUAUUUUGUCUUUAAUAACCCUCUAAAACAAAAGUAAGAUAAUCAAGUACUUUUAUUACUUGAUAUCUCCAAGAUGUUUUAUUUUCGUUAGAUUGAGUGGUUGGUAAUCUUCAGCCAAUCAAAUUGCAAGGUCCACGAUGAUAAAUGUUUAGUAUAAAUAUUGAAGUUUCCUCGUUGCAAAUUUUAUAUUAACCAAAUGAAAAGUUGCUUUGCUGCAAUGGAAAGUACUUCCUUUGUUAAGUUCUCAUUAAUUUCACUAAUUUGGAUUAUUUUUUUGAUGAAUGAAAUGCAUGGAUACAAAGCAUGCUUGCAAACAGAGAGGACUGCUCUGUUGGAACUCAAGAGCUUCUUCAUAUCAGUCAGCGAUGUUGGAUAUGAUGACAAAAUUCUUCCUUCAUGGGUUGAUGAUGGAAUGUCGUUUGAUUGUUGUGAUGAUUGGGAGGGAGUUAAGUGCAACACCACCACACGACGGGUGAUGCAACUCUCACUCAAUUGGACAACAAUGUUCAACGACACUAAAUAUAGCUCUUUUUAUUAUGGAGCUUUGCUUCUGAAUAUGUCAUUGUUUCAUCCUUUCGAAGAAUUGCAGAGCCUCGACUUAUCUGAUAAUUGCUUUAAAGGCUUCUAUGAGAGCAAAGGUACAUGUAUAUAUAUGUAUAUAUUUCUCGUGAAAAUUAUAAAAAUUAAUCCUUCAUAUGCAUUUGCAGUUUACGAUAGCUUUGAGGGUUUAAAACAGCUAAAGAUCUUAAAACUUAGUGACAAUUUCUUCACCGACAGCAUAUUACCACAUUUGAAUACGCUAACUUCACUUACCACUCUGAAUCUUCGUUCCAAUAACAUUGAAGGUUCCAGAAUCAAGCAAGGUAUAUAUGUUUGAGGCAAGCAGAAAUGCAUGUCAGGCAAGUUAAUCUCUUCAAAUAUUUAUGUAUAUUGUUUUGAUCAAAAUUAAUGUUUACUGAGCAGGAUUAGCAGAUUUGAGAAACUUGCAAGUGUUGGAUCUAAGCUGGAACCUCAAUCUAACAAGUGGCUCUUUAUCAAGGCUAGGUAAGCUACUGGGAUAAAACCAAACAACCACACUGAUCACAGCCUUACUACAAUAAUUUUGAAGUAAUAUUUUAUUUAUUUAUUUAUUUUUUUAUUGAUGUAGGAUUGGCAAAUUUGACAAACUUGAAAACAUUAGAUCUUGGUGGUUCUGAAAUAACUACACUUCAAGGUAUACCACAACAAUCAUCACUUCCUAUAAAUUUCCCAGUUUUUUUUUUUUUGGGUAAUAUUAUGGCCUUUCAUUUUUCAAUCUGCUGUUUGAGUACAUCAACUUAGUUGAAUCUCAAUUAAACUAAGUUGACUAAUUACAACCAUCUGCUUUAUUAUAAUUUUUAAAUCUGAUUUUGAAUUCCCAUUCUUCAUUCUUUUGAUUCUAAUGCCUAAUUGACUAAUUCCAACUAGAUCAAAUUUGAAUUAGAAUCACUGCUUUCUUUACAAAGUUUAGUACUUGACAUACUGGAUCGCCAUUUUCUGAUAUAACCCGCUCAUUUCUUUCACUCUCUCCUAAUUCUGAAUAUUUUUUAUAAAAAAGUCAACAAUGAUAUUUAUCUUUAUUUCAAUAUUUAUAGUUCUAAAUGAAAAAAGAUUUUUUUUUAUCUUUUGUUCAUUAAAUAUUGAUGUAGGAUUAGCUAAAUUCAAAAACUUGGAAGCAUUGAAUUUGAGUAAUAGUAAUACAAAAAAAUUCUCUAGAAACCCAAAUUAAACAAUUUACACGGCAUUUUUAUGUUGAAACAUGAUAAAUAAGAGCACAAUAUUGUUUUCUAAUUGCUGUUUUCACAAAAUAAAAAUGAAAAUGAAAAUGUUAUUUUUAAAUUUAUUUUUAAAAUUUAAAAAUGUGUUCGGUAUCAUUUCAAAAUAAAUCUCAAAAAAUAAGAAAAAGAAAAACGUGUUUGGUAAGAAUAUUUUAAAGAAUUAUUUUUGGAAUAAUAAUAAUUUCCAUAAACUUAAGAUUAAGCAAGGUAUAUUGAUUAUUUUAAUUUUAAGAAUAAAUUAGGUGAUCUUGCUAUUAAUUUUUUUGUUCAAAGAAAAAUGAUAAACUCUACAUAUUUGAUUUAAUUAAUAUAUAAAAACAUAAAUAUUAUAAUGUAUAUAAAAAGAAAAGAUUAUUGUUAGGGAAAUUGAUUUUUUGGUAGUAUAAUGAUAAUAAUAAUAAUAAUAAUAAUAAUAAUAAUAAUAUAAAGGGUUAAUUACCUGUGAGUGACACAUGUUUUAACAAAUUUCAAAAAGAUGAUACAUUUUUUAAAAAUAUUCGAGUGGGUGAUAUUCUAUUAACUUUUGCCGUUAAUUUUAAUGAGAAUAGUAAAUUAGUUACAAAAUGACAUGUCUACCCUUACAAUUAAUUAUAAAAAUGGCAUUCUUUCUCUUACAAUUAGUUACAAAAUGAUCUUUUUACCCCUACCAUUAGUUACAAAUGAUAUUUCUGCCCCUACUCACUUAUUUUUAAUUUUUUAAAUAGAAAAUUAUAUAAAAAAUUAAACGGAAGUCUAAUUAACAGGUAUUUUUUGGUUAAAUCAAAUAAUUUUUUUAAAAAAAAUUCUUGUUGAAUCAAACUGAUUUGUGAAUAUAAAAAAGUAGAAAUCUUAUGAAUUAUAAAGUAUUGUAUAAAUUCAAUAUUUUAAUCUCUUUGGCUUUAUUUUAAAAAAAAAAAUCUAUUUUUUCAAUUCUACCCUUGGUCGAUUAAAUUUAAUGGCAAGGAUAAACAAUGUCACACACUCGAGUGUUUUCAAAGCAUGUGUCACCUUUUAAAAAUUUGUCAAAACAUGUGUCAUCCAGGAGUAAUUGUUAUUAAUAAUAAUAGUAAUAAUAAUAGCAUUUCAAGAGGUGGUAAAGAAAAUUUUUCACUUUGGAACUUAAUACUGCAUUGGGAAAUAAGGAAAACAAGAAAAACUUGUUUCUCAUUUCCUUUGUUAAAAUGUGUAGAAUGAAUUUUAUAUUUUUAAAAAUGUUUUCAUAAACAAUCUACCGAGUACAUAUCUAAUAUUUUCUAAAUUCAAAAAAUAAAAAACAGGAUAUAAAAACAUUACCAAAACACCCAAUAUUUGCAUUACUGAUACACAAUUCCUACUUCCUAGUGACUUGUUGGUCAAAGUACCUUGACAAAAUUAAAUAUGAAGAGCAGUUCUUUUUUUCUUUUUUUUUUGUUUUUCGCCCGUUUAGACAAAUGGUUUUGUUUAAUACUAUGAGACGAAUAAAUAAAGUUUAAGAAAACAACUAAAAUAUUAUGAUUUUCUCUUUAUAUUAUCCAAGAAAUUUAAAGAUUAGAGAACCAAUAUCCAAAGAAAAAGAUGAAGUGAACAAACUCUUCCGCAGAAAAUCAUUAUUUUAGACAACAAGAAUUGCUGAAACGCUUUUUGAAUUGAUUAUGAUGAGCAAGACUUGCUGAGUGCUUUUUUAUUAUUAUUAUGUUUUUUGUUAGAUUAAUUGAAAUGCUUUUGCAAUCAACAUCAUAUUAUAUGAGAAAUAAAUUCAUAUCAUUCUAUUAUUAUUUAUGUUGACCAAAAUACUUAGACAAUUUGAUUUCAUGUCCGUUUUAUAAGUCUUAUAUUGGAUUUAUGAUUGAAUGCGCUAUAAUUAGUUUUUGUUUUAUGAAAUCUGAGUUUUUUAUUUUCAGGCUCAGGAAUAUGUAAUUUGAAGAAUCUUUUCGAGUUGGAUCUAAGCUCAAAUAACUUUAAGGGUCACCUUCUUCAGUGUCUCAACAACUUGACCCAUCUCAAAGUUCUUGAUAUUUCUACUAAUCAAUUAAGUGGAAACUUUCCUUCUUCGUUGACAAAUCUCACAUCACUUGAAUAUUUGGAUCUCUCUUUCAUCAGUUUCCAAGAAACAUUCUCAAUAAAUUCAUUGGCCAAUCAUUCAAAGCUUGAGGUCCUGCUACUCUCGUCAGGAAACGAUAUGUUGGAAGUGAAAACUGAAAACUGGCUCCCCACAUAUCCUCUCAAGGUUCUCCAAUUAUCUCACUGCCACUUAAAUGUCAAUCCCAGUUUUCUUUUACACCAACACCACUUAAAAUUCCUUGAUCUCUCUCAAAAUCAGUUGGUUGGCAAUUUCCCAACUUGGUUGUUGCAAAAUAACACAGGAUUAGAAGUUUUGAUUUUGCGGAAUAACUCAUUCUCAGGAAUUCUUCCCCGACUUCCCAAUGCCAAAUACGAUAACCUUCGUCAUCUAGACAUUUCCAUUAACAAUUUCUCUGGUAAGCUGCCAGAGAAUUUGGGUAUUGUCUUUCAAAAAUUGAUAUAUUUGGAUAUGUCAAAAAAUAGUUUUGAAGGUAAUAUUCCUUAUUCAAUCAGUGAGAUGAAAGAGCUAAUUACUUUGGAUUUGUCUAGAAAUAAUUUUUCAGGAGAAUUACCUCGACCUAUAGUCUCUAGUUGCCUCUCCUUAAAUAUAUUGGACCUAUCAAAUAACAAUUUCUAUGGCCAACUUUUUCCCAAUUAUAUGAACUUGACUCAUUUGCAUUCGUUACAUUUGGACAACAAUCAUUUCAGAGGGAAGAUAACAGAUGGUUUAUUGAGCUCCACUUUGCUAGAGGUAUUAGAUGUAUCCAACAACAUGUUAUCCGGUGAUUUUCCCCAUUGGAUUGGCAACUUCUCAAGCCUUUGGCUUCUUUUAAUGUCAGAAAAUUAUUUGCAAGGUAUUAUUCCGGUCCAGCUCAACAAUCUUGAAAUUCUUGAGUUUAUAGACAUCUCCGAAAAUAGUUUGUCUGGGUCCAUGCUAUCUCCCUCCAAUCUUACAAAUUUGAAGCACAUUUAUCUGGAUAACAAUGCAAUUAAUGGGUUAAUUCCAAUUGCAUUGCUUAGAAGCUCUACAUUAUUGACUCUAGAUUUGAGGGACAAUAAACUUUUUGGUAGGAUUCCUCAUCAGAUCAAUGAGCUUUCGAAUUUGCAUGUUCUUCUUUUGAGAGGGAAUUCUCUACAAGGACGUAUUCCUAAUCAAUUGUGCCAAUUAAGGAAAUUUGGUAUCAUGGAUCUUUCACAUAACAGACUUAAUGGACCAAUACCUUCAUGCCUGGAUAACAUGUCAUUCUGGAGAGAAGCGACUGAUGAUGAUUCGUAUGAAUAUGAAUCACUUCGUGCGUAUAUGUUUUUAAAUAGUGAUUCCCCUCUAAUUUAUUACAAUUCUACCCUUGAUCUGCAACCGCGAAUUGAACUGCAUCCUAAAAUAGAUAAACGAGUAGACGCGGAAUUUGCGACAAAGAAUAGAUAUGAAUUUUUCAUCGGUCGCAAUCUCAACUACAUGGCUGGACUGGAUUUGUCGAGCAAUGAGUUCAGUGGAGAAAUUCCAUGGGAAAUUGGGCAUCUUCAAAAUAUUCGUGCACUUAAUCUGUCCAAUAAUUUACUAUCAGGUGCUAUACCAGAGAGCUUCUCCAAUCUAAAAAUGAUAGAGAGCCUGGACAUUUCCUGCAACAAAUUAAGUGGCCGAAUUCCUCAACUAACUGAGCUCAACUUUUUAUCAAACUUCAACGUGUCAUACAACAAUUUGUCCGGCCCAAUCCCAGACAAAGAGCAGUUUGGCACGUUUGAUGACAGCAGUUAUAAAGGUAAUUCGGCUCUUUGUGGCUCAAUGAUAAAGAGGAAAUGCAGCAGUGCAUUGACACCACCAGCGACACCUGCAGGAGGAGGAGAUGAAGAGGAUUCUGUGAUUGAUAUGGUGGCAGUAAGAUGGAGUUUUGGAGCAUCCUAUGUGUCAGUGAUUUUGGGUUUAUUUGCAGCACUUUGGAUAAACUCGUACUGGCGCAAACUUUGGUUCUAUUUCAUUGAUAGAUGUAUUGACACAUGCUACUAUUGGCUUUUCAAAUAUGUUUUCCAUCGGUGAUUGUGUUUACCAGCAGAACUUAUUGUGCCGUGUUAUGUCUCCAUUGGCUUUUCUCCCAACAGCAAUGUAUCCAUGUUUGUGUUUGUUCAAAUUCUCAAUUUGGUUACUACACUCAUGUUUCCAAUUUCCUUUAAUUGGCUGCAUUAGGAUUAGACUUACGGCUUCUUCUUCAGUUUCUGUUGGUUGCAAAUUUAAAUUGAAUAAGGAAUUUUUCCAACUACUAUGUUUGUUGUAAUAUCAUUAGUGCAGCAACUUCAGCUGCAAAUGUAAGCUAUCAGUGGGUCAAUUCAACUCCAUUCCCAACGUAUUGUUCACACGCACUAACCAAAUACCAAAUAAUUUGAGGCAUAAUUAUCUACAAAUCUCAGUCUAAAACAUUAAAACCCAUUAUAGAACAGCAUCACAGAUUUCUUCAUGAGGAAAAUCGCCCAAUUAAUUUAUCAUCAUUUAUUGAUCAAAACAAAAUCUCUUAACAAAACAAGAAACCGAUUUGUACAAAUAUUAUAUUAGAACAUCUAGAGAGGAUAUCUAAAAUGAUACAAUCAAGUAUUGAUUAAAACUUGCUCCAAAUUUUAACCAUUUCUACAACGGUAACAUUCACUAACAAAUGUUUUGAAUAAACUUACUCAUAUUAUGUUAUAAACUUAUUCAUGUCAUACUUGUGUCAUUUUAACUUAUUUUUUUUGACACAUUUGUUAUUUUUAAAUUAAUUUUUAAUAUCUUCAAAAAAAAUAUUAAACAAGUCAACACGAUUAAUAUGUUUGUUUUGUGUUUUUGUUCUCUCUUCGUUUGUGUCUGUGUUUUCGUAAACUUUCUUUUGUUGUUGUUCUGUUGUGUGUAUGUAGUAAAUGUGUUUUAUAUUUUGUGUGUAGAUAUUGAUGUCUUAUUUUUCUUUGAAUUUGUGACAGUGGGAAAACUGAAUUUUUGCAGAUGAAGAGGCAACCGGUAGCAAAAAGAACCCGUACUCAAACAAAUCGUAUGAUUGAGGAGAAGUAUAAAAAACUUAAGGAAAAUAAAGGACAAGAAAAAUAUGGGACUGAAUCGUCUAGUUCUAAGGUUAAUGAAUCAUCCAGUUCUAAGGAUGAUGAAUGUGUCAAAGUAUUUGAAAUGGACAAUGUGAGUGACAAGGAGGAGAAGGAGGAGGGGACUAGAUCAAAACAAGUUAAUGAUGAUUGUGGUGGUUUUUUGUCAGAAUCAGAAAGUGACAAUGAUGGAAGUGAUCCUUUAAGGCCAAUUAUAGUGGAUUGUUGUCCUGAAGAAGAUUUGGAUUUAGAUGCAGAGAAUAGUAGUUUGGGGUCAAAGACAACUGAUGAGUAUGUAAUUAAUGAUGAUUACGUGGAUGAUGGUGAUGAUGACGGUGAGAAGGAGGAGGAGGAGGAGAGGGAAACUGAUGAUGAAAGUUUACUGGAAGCGCGUACGAAAAAUAAGGGGAAAUUAAAAAAGUCAACCAAGGGAAAGCACAACCGUGUGCUGAAACAUGAUCAUGUUGAAAGAAUUAUUCUGAAAUCCAUUUUGAAUACGGAAGAAACUCCCUCAGAAGAUUAUCCAUCUUCCAGCAGAGAGGUUUUAAGAGACGAGAUGAGUCAAUCAUUCAAUGAUGAUGAGGAGUCAACUUCAUCAGAGAAAUCAGAGUGUGAUGAUGGCUUGGGUUAUCUCUGGGCUGAGAUGGACUUUGCUCGCAAAGUCAGCGAGCUGCAUUCCGCUAACUCUCCCAUCGUAUCUCGAGUUUGUAAUUUGAUUGAGCACAAAAGCAUUAUAUUAGGAUUGUUUUUAUUGAUUUAAGUUUUUAUAUUCUUUCUUAGAUUGCAUUGUAACCUAUUAUUGUUUCCUGUUGGCUGCUUGACAAUGUUAUUCAUAAAUUACUCUGUGAACAAGUAUUGGCGAUUAGAUUUUAAGCAAUGUCAUUAUCAUCCUUAUUGUAAUUAAAAAGUAAAAAACAGGCUUACUCUUUUUUCUUUUUCAGGUGUAGGCUUUAGUUUAAAGGAUAUACAUGUUGAUUUAAUAGAUUUAAUUGAGGUUCCAACUUCAAAUUUAUAUGUCGUAGACAGAAGUGAAAUUGCUCUGUAGUAAUUAGUAUACCUAUUGCUCUUUAUUCUUUAAAUUACUUCUAAGUUUUAUGAACUUCUAUUUUACAUCAGAGGCUUAUGGAAUAAAUUGAUGAUGCAAGGGUCAAAUGCAUGACUUUGUUGCUGUACUAUAUUAUAUUGAUUCAUAUUCUUAAUUGUGAUCAUUUAGCAUGAAAAUAUGAUUGUUGAACUGAUGAGGCAUAUGCUAUAGUUAACAAAUUUAUGAUUGUUUUAGCUAAUCAAAUUCAUUAUAUUUUUGUUUAUUGUUAUUUGCAUUUAUGACAAAGAUGCUUGACUUUGUUGCUGCCCUAAAUUAUCUUUAUUCAUAUUCUUAAAUGUGAUUUUUAGUAAUAAAAAUAUGUUUGUUGUACCGUUAAGGUAUAUAUGUUCAUCAUUAGUGUUAACAAAUUUAUGAUUGUUUUAGCUGAUUAAGUCUAUUCCUCCAAUGACAAAAAUUGUUUUAGAUGUUAAUCAAGAUGAUAAUAUAUUUCCAUUUUUUUAAUUGCUUUAAACUAGAUAAAAUUUAAAUUAGAAGCACUGCUUUCUAUACAAAGUUUAGUACUUGAUAUACUCUAUCACCAAUUUCCGACAUAACCCGCUCAUUUCUUUCACUCUCUCUUAAUUCUAAAUCAUUUCUAUAAAAAAAUCAACAAUGAUAUUUAUCUUUAUUUCAAUAUUUAUAGUUCUGAAUGAAAUUUUUUUUUCUUCUUAGGCUCAUUAAUUCUUGAUGCAAGAUUAGCUAAAUUCAAAAGCUUGGAAGCAUUGAAUUUGAGUAAUAGUAACAUAAAAAAUUCUCUAGAAACCCAUAUUAAUCAAUUUACACUGUGUUUUUAUGUUGAAACAUGAUAAAUAAGAGCCCAAUAUUGUUUUCUAAUUGGUUUUUUUUUUACAAAAUAAAAAUGAAAAUGCUAUUUUUAAAUUUAUUUUUAAAAUUUAAAAAUGUGUUCAGUAUCAUUUUCAAAAAUAAUCUCAAAAAUGAGAAAAACAAAAAUAUGUUUGGUAAGAAUAUCUCAAAGAAUUAUUAUUGGAAUAAUUUCCAUAAACUUAAGAUUAAGCAAUGUAUAUUGAUUAUUUUAAUUUUAAGAAUAAAUUAGGUGAUCUUUCUAUUUUUUUGUUCAAAGAAAAAUGAUAAACCCUACAUAUUUGAUCUAGUUAAUAUAUAAAAACAUAAAUAUUAUAAUGUAUAUAAAAAGAAAAGUUUUUUGUGAGGGAAAUUGAUUCUUUGGGUACAACAACAACAACAACAAUAAGAAUAAUAAUCUCUAGGUGACAUAUGUUUUAACAAAUUUUAAGAAGAUGACAUAUUUUUUUAAAAUAUUCGAACGAUUGACAUUCUAUUAACUUUUGCCAUUAAUUUUAAUAAGAAUAGUAAAUUAAAUGAUGUUUCUACCCCACAAAAUGAUGUUUCUACCCAUACUCACUCAUUUUUAAUUUUUUAAAUAGAAAAAUAUAAAAAAAUUAAACAUAAGUCUAAUUAACAGGUUUUUUUUUGUAAAUCUAAUAACUUUUAAAAAAAUUCUUGUUGAUCAAACUGAUUUGUGAAUAUAAAGAAGCAAAAAUCUUAUGAAUUAUAAAGUAUUGUAUAAAUUCAAUAUUUUCAUCUCUUUGGCUUUAUGAAAAAAAAAUAUAUUUUUCCAAUUCUACCCUCGGCUGAUUAAAAUUAACAGCAAAAGUUAAUGGAAUGUCACCCACUCAAGUGUUUUCAAAACAUGCGUCAUCUUUUUGAAAUUUAUUAAAAUAUGUGUCACCCAGGGAUAAUUAAACCUAAUGAUGAUAAUAAUAAUAAUAAUAAUAAUGUUGAUAUUAUUAUUAUUUCAAGAGGAGAUAAAGAGAAUUCUUAAUUUUGGAACUUAAUAUUGUAUUGGAAAAUAAGGAAAAUAAGAAAAAGUCGUUUCUCAUUUCUUUUGUUAAAAUGUGUAGAAUGAAUUUUAUAUUUUAAAAAAUAUUUCAGAAACAAUCUACCGAACACGUAUCUAAUAUUUUCUAAAUUCAAAAAAUAAAAAACAGCAUAUAAAAACAAUGCCAACGCACCCAAUAUUUGCAUUACUGACACACAAUUCCUACUUCCCAGUGACUUGUUGGUCAAAGUACUUUGCCGAAAUUAAAUAUGAAGACCAGUUUUUUUUUUUUUCCGCUUGGGCAAAUAGUUUUGUUUAAUGCUAUGAGAAGAAUAAAUAAAGUUUAAGAAAACAACUAAUAGAUUAUGAGUUUCUCUUUACAUUAUCCAACAAAUUUAGAGAUUAGAGAACCAAUAUCCAACGAAAAACACGAAGUCAACAAACUCUUCCGCAGAAAAUCAUUAUUUUAAACAAUGACAAUUGCUUAAACGCUUUUUGAAUAGAUUAUGAUGAGCAAGAAUUGCUGACUGCUUUUAUAUUAUUAUUAUUAUUUUAUUGUUAGAUUAAUUGAAACGCUUUUGCAAUCAACAUCAUAUUAUAUGAGAAAUAAAUUCAUAUCAUUCUAUUAUUAUUUAUGUGUACCAAAAUACUUAGACAAUUUGAUUUCUUGUCCGUUUUAUAAGUCUUAUAUUGGGUUCAUGAUUGAAUGCACUAUAAUUAGUUUUCGUUUUAUGAAAUCUGAGCUUUUUAUUUUCACUUUCAGGAAUAUGUAAUUUGAAGAAUCUUCUUGAGUUGGAUUUAAGCUCAAAUAGCCUUGAGGGUCACCUUCCUCGGUGUCUCAACAACUUGACCCAUCUCAAAGUUCUUGAUAUUUCUUACAAUCAGUUAAGUGGAAACUUUCCUUCUGCCUUGACCAACCUCACAUCACUUGAAUAUUUGGAUCUCUUUUUCAUCGAUUUCCAAGGAACAUUCUCAAUAAAUUCAUUGGCUAAUCAUUCAAAGCUUGAGGUCUUGCGACUCUCGUCAGGAAACGAUAUGUUGCGAGUGAAAACCGAAAACUGGCUCCCCACAUAUCCUCUCAAGGUUCUCCAAUUAUCUCACUGCCACUUAAAUGUCAAUAAUAGUUUUCUUUUACACCAACACCACUUAAAAUUCCUUGAUCUCUCUCACAAUCAGUUGGUUGGCAAUUUCCCAACUUGGUUGUUGCAAAACAACACAGGAUUAGAAGUUUUGAUUUUGUGGAAUAACUCAUUCUCAGGAAUUCUUCCCCGACUUCCCAAUGCCAAAUACGAUAAGCUUCGUUAUCUAGAUAUUUUCACUAACAAUUUCUCUGGUACGGUACCAGAUAAUUUGGGUAUUGUCUUUCAGAAAUUGAUAUAUUUGGAUAUGUCAAAAAAUAGUUUUGAAGGUAAUAUUCCUUAUUCAAUCAGUGAGAUGAAAGAGCUAAGUACUUUGGAUUUGUCUAGAAAUAAUUUUUCAGGAGAAUUACCUCGAUCUAUACUCUCUAGUUGCCUCUCCUUAGAAAUGUUGGACCUAUCAAAUAACAAGUUCUAUGGCCAACUUUUUCCCAAUUUUAUGAACUUGACUCAGUUGAGUUCCUUACUUUUGGACAACAAUCAUUUCAGUGGGAAGAUGACAGAUGGUUUGUUGAGCUCGCCUUUGCUGGGGAUAUUAGAUGUAUCCAACAACAAGUUAUCCGGCGAUAUUCCCCACUGGAUUGGCAACUUCUCACACCUUUGGCUUCUUUUAAUGUCAGAAAAUUAUUUUCAAGGUAGUAUUCCGGUCCAGCUCGGCAAUCUUGAAAGUCUUGGGUUUAUAGACAUCUCCGAAAAUAGUUUGUCUGGGUCCAUGGUAUCUCUCUCCAGUCUUUCAUCAGUGGAGCACAUUUAUCUGCAUAACAAUGCAAUUAAUGGGUUAAUUCCAAUUGCAUUGCUUAGAAGCUCUACAUUAUUGACUCUCGAUUUGAGGGACAAUAAACUUUUUGGUAGGAUUCCUCAUCAGAUCAAUGAGCUUUCGAAUUUGCAUGUUCUUCUUUUGAGAGGGAAUUAUCUACAAGGACGUAUUCCUAAUCAGUUGUGCCAAUUAAGAAAAUUAGGUAUCAUGGAUCUUUCACAUAACAGACUUAAUGGGCCGAUACCUUCAUGCUUGGGUAACGUGUCAUUCUGGAGAGAAGCGAUUGAUGAUUAUUCAUAUGAUUCCACUCUUGAUCGGCAGCCGCAAGGUAAACCACAUGGUGGAAUAGAUCAAAAAGUAGGUGUAGAAUUUGUGACAAAGUAUAGAUAUGAAUUUUUCAUCGGUCUCAAUCUCGUCGACAUGGCUGGAUUGGAUUUGUCGAGCAAUGAGUUCAGUGGAGAAAUUCCAUGGGAAAUUGGGCAUCUUCAACAUAUUCGUGCACUUAAUCUGUCGAAUAAUUUACUAUCAGGUGCUAUACCAGAGAGCUUCUCCAAUCUGAAAAUGAUAGAGAGCCUGGACCUUUCCCGCAACAAAUUAAGUGGCCGAAUUCCUCCUCAACUAACUGAGCUCAACUUUUUGUCAAACUUCAACGUGUCAUACAACAAUUUGUCCGGCCCAAUCCCAGACAAAGAGCAGUUUGCCACCUUUGAUGACAGCAGUUAUGAAGGUAAUUCGGCUCUUUGUGGCUCAAUGAUAAAGAGGAAAUGCAGCAGUGCGUUGGCACCACCAGCGACACCUACAGGAGGAGGAGAAGAUGAAGGCGAUUCUGUGAUUGAUAUGGUGGCAUUAAGAUGGAGUUUUGGAGCAUCCUAUGUGUCAGUGAUUUUGGGCUUCUUUGCAGCACUUUGGAUAAACUCGUACUGGCGCAGACUGUGAUUCUAUUUCAUUGAUAGAUGUAUUGACACGUGCUACUAUUGGCUUUUCAAAUACGGUUCUGCCGUGUAUAACUUAUCGUGAUGUAUUAUGUAUCCGUUGGCUUUUCUCCAAACAGCUACGUAUCCAUGUAUGUGUUUGUUCAAAUUCUCAAUCUGGUUCCAAAACUACACUCAUGUUUCCAAUUUCGUUUAAUUGGUUGCAUUAUGAUUAGACUUACGGCUUCUUCUUCAGUUUCUGUUGGUUGCAAAUUUAAAUUUAAUAAGGAAUUUUGCCAUCUAGUACGUUAGUUGUAAUAUCAUCAGUGCAGCAACUUCAACUGCAAAUCUAAGCUAUCAGUAGGUCAAUUCAACUCCAUUCCGAAUGUAUUGUUCACACGCACCAACCAAAUACCAAAUAAUUUGAGGCAUAAUUAACAACAAAUCCCAGUCUAAAACAUUAAAACCCAUUAUAGAAUAACAUCACAGAUCUCUUGAUGAGGAAAAUCGCCCAAUUAAUUUAUCAUCAUUUAUUGACCAAAACAAAAUCUCUUAACAAAACAAGAAACCGAUUUGUACAAAUAUUAUAUUAGAACAUCCAGAAAGGAUAUCUAAAAUGAUACAAUCAGGUAUUGAUUAAAACUUGCCCCAAAUUUUAACUAUUUCUACAACGGUAACAUUCACUAACAAAUUUUUCGAAUAAAAUUGGGAGAAAUAGGACGGCACCUUUGCAUUUUAUUGCUUUGCUCUCUCUUUUAACGAACAGAAGCACAGAUGGAUUGAUGAUUGUACAUCUCAGUUACCCCAUUUGUGAUCUGCUGUCGGUUUCUUCUCCGUUUUCUGACAACUAUAAAUCCUUCACCAUUCCCAUUUUUUUGGUUUGCAUCUUUGGGUUUUUUCUGUUCUUGAUCAUUGGACUGAGAUGCCAAGUUUGUUUUGCCCUUUUCAUUUCCAUAAAGGAUCUUUAUGAUAGCACUAUCAUUUGCAAUUGCAUCUGAAGAAUUUUCUGAAUACCAAUCUCCUUUUCAUAGCCUGAAGAUUGACUUGGAGCAUCCAUAUUAUGCUGGACUGACUUUACAAUGAAGCUAAGUAGUAUCUGUCUUGCCAGCUCUGACUUCUCGGCCUCUGUACUGCUCUUCCUUGAGGUAUUAUCUUCGCCUUGAAUACUGGACAUUUUGUCAAGCUUCUCAUCUUCUGCCUCACUUGUGUCAUUUGAAGAGUUCGACUCAUUUGAAACAUUUGAAUCUGCACUUCCAGGAUUUAUUUGCCAACCUCUCAUUGGCACAAACUUGGGUGCAUGCGGGUUCAUGAUUCUUGAAGGCCCCAACAGGUUUCUUUCCAUAAUGGAAGAGUGGUAUUUUGGAAAUCCAUGUUUCAUCAUGUAAGAAUAAUUAUUUCUAUAAUAGAGAGGCGACCUUGGCCCACAAGGAACUCUAGCAGCAGCCGAAGGUACAGCAGGUUCUGCAAGCAUACCUUGACUAGUUCUCGCAUCAUAAAUACUCGUGGCUGCUACAGAGUUUAGCAGAUGAGUCAUGGAGACAGAUCCUGGGUUGAAUGGUUCAGCUGUGGCAGAAAGCUUACUCCCAUUUGUUUCCAUGGGCUUUUCCUCGUUAGAAGAAGAAGGAACUUCCUUGGUAUCUGCAGCAGUAGUUUCAGAUUGAGUUACACUUCCAUGAGUUUCUUGAGACUGACCAUCAACUGGCGCAUCUUCAACUGGAGAGAAAUGGUUAUUCAACUCCGCCUUUGAUGUCUCAGGAGCAUUCCUGCACAUCUGCGUUUCAGUUUUUUCUUCAAUUUCUUCAUCAGGUUUCUCUGGUAAUGGCUUUAGAACCGUACCUGGUGGUGCCACAGAUACUUCUUUGUAAGACAGCGACUUGGAAGCCAUGGCAGUAAGGUUUGGUGGACUUGCAUAAACUUUGGAGACAGAAGCUUUUGCCUGCAGUUUAAUUGAAUCCUUUAUGCCUGUUAACUCAGUGGUGGUGGUCCUUGAAGCUUUUUCCCGUACUGGAGAAACAAUUUCCUGUCUAUUGCCUUUUUCUCUAAGAUUUGAAUGUUCACAACCAUUGACAUUUAGCUUUGUAAGAACAGGUCGCCUCCGGCUGAGCUUCCGAACAGCAGCAUUUCCUGACCUACCUUUUGGAUUGGCUUCUUGCCACCCCUCAUCUGAAUUUGUUUCUUCCACAAACUCACCUGAAAUUGCCGGUCCAUAUCUAGUAAUAUCAUCGUUCUCUUCUGGCUCUUCAGGUUCAACACGGUCUUCUAUUACCUCCUCGGUCUUGCUUUCCACUAUAGUCAUACUUUUUUUCAAUCCAUCAUUGGGCAGUGCAUCUUCCACCAUCAUAUCAUGAUGUACUCCAUGAAUCUUUUCCCUAAUCUGCAUUACCUGAAAAAAAUAAAUAAACCAAAAAAAGAAAACAAAACCUUUUUAACUUGUAUGCAUAUAAAAUGUCAAAAAUUGAGCCAAUAGAAAUAUUUCAUUUUAAGUUACAAUCAUCUUGUAAUUUUACAGUAGCAAAAUUUAUUACAACAAAUCCAGACAUAACAUGAGGCAGAAUUCAGUGGAACAUAAAUGGGAAUUUGAUAUGUACAUGCCUGAAAUGUUGAAAAAAACACUCAGUGAGAAAUUAUGCUAAUAUAUAUUAUGUUAAACUAAUGAAAUUCUUCAGCCUUUUGAAUCAUGGAAUUCUCAAAAAAAAUAAUCACAGCGAAAUACUUUACUAUUGUCUUAAAUUGUCAACCAGGUAAUACUUCAAAUUAGCACAUAAUAAUCCUGUCUUUCUAAUAUGUAGUAUUAUUUGGUUCUCUAAGGCCUACAAAAUGGGGAAAAAAAAAAGGGAAAAACUCCAACUGCCAAAUCGAAAAAUGUUUUUCUAGAAUCAAUAAUAACAACCAUUAAAUAACAGUAGAAUGGAAGAACUCCAUCUCCUAGCCAAAAUGAUAGAUCUGUCAUAUCCAUCCAUUGCACUUCAAAUUAAUGGUUUCUUCUCACUCUGUUCAAGGUUACGGGGUAAAACAAAAACUAUCACUCGUUCUGCUCAUCAUCUCUGAAUUUCUAAAGAACUAGCAGCUUGACCAAGCAACCCUCCAUCAUUGCCUACCAACUAUCAGCUGGCCCAAUCUAUGGCCAUCAAUAGAUCAGAACCUUCUAAAGUUUCAAUCAUGUCUGUGAUCUAUACAAGCAUGUUAGAUUUCUUUUUGUUGUUUGGGGGGGGGGGGGGGGAGUGUGAUUCUAUGCUAGAAAUGGAUGUUUAUAUUUGGUGCCUUCAGAGUUCACUCAGAAAAGUAGAACUAUUAUCCAGCAAUAGUUAGUUGCAUUUUGCAUGGACAACAAGUUUACUCGUGUAAUCAGCAAAUCCAAAACUAUAUGCCAGCAGAGUGUACUCUAAAAUACCAAAUCCUAACUAAAAUUAGUUUAAGAAUCCAUUCAGAUGGACAUCACAAGAAAAAAGGAACAGAGAACAGCAGCAUGCUUAAUGCUUCAUUUCACAUAGCUUUUCAAAUAGAUCUUAUUUGAGUAGAGUUCUGCUAGUAAAGAUUUUAUAAGUAAAGUUUUUACUCAAAAAAAUUGUGUUGUUUGGUUGUCAAUAAGAGCUUUUAUUAAAAAUUAUAAAAUUACUUUAAUAAGCAAAUUUUUUAAAGUUAUGUUUUGAAAAGAAAAAAAUAAGAUUGUCAUAUAAAUAGAGAAUAUUUUAGAUAUUUUAACAUUUAAAAAAAAAAUUUAACCUCUAUUCUCAAAAGCACAAAAUUUGAGCUUUUUAUAGUAGAGGCAAAAUAAAUUAUUUAAUUUUCAUGAGCUCUACUAAAAAAACAAUUAAACAACAAAAAAAAUUUUGAUAAGAGCUUAUAGGAUUAAAUAAAAUUUUAAGACCAUUAGAUAAGUCAUACCAAACAGGCACUAAGUAUGUACUACCUUUGCACGUCGUUGUUUCCUAUGUGCUUCGCUUCUUUUAGAAUCUUGACCAGGACUUAUGUAAUCCAGGAGAUCUGAUACACUGCGAAAAGCGAUCAUUAUAGGUCUUGGUGCCACAAGAAAUAAUCAACAAUUUAGAAACAAGUAAUGUGGGAAUACCCUGUUAAUACCUAAGGUGACCUUUACUCGCAAUGGACGCAUCUGGAUUUGGAGUUCCAUUCCGUGCCGCUUCUUGCUGCUCUAGAGCUCUUGAUUCAAAAUACUCCAGCCAUGCAGCAGCAUCCUGUAAAACAAAAAACAAAAUACAACAAAAUAACAAAAAUCUCUUCCCAUCAAUAAUAUGGAACUUGAGAAAUUCUCUCAUGACAGUUAAGAUUAGAGGUAGCAAAAUGGAUUACGACACAAUUACACAAUAUAAUACGACAUAUGACCCAUAUUUGUGUUAACAAAUAUUGACACGAUUAAUAAAUGAGUUGACACGACACGAUAAAUAACCAUGUCGUAUCUGUUUUGGACCAUCUCAACAUGAUUAUACGUUUAUAACAUAAAUAUCAAUUAUUAUGUGUUAAUAUUAUUGGAAAAAAACUAAAAUAUAUACUAAUCACCAAAUUAAUGACUCAUGUCAUAGUCAUAUUAUGUUAUAAACUUAUUCAUGUCAUACUUAUGUCAUUUUAACUUAUUUAUAACUUAUUUUUUUGACACAUUUGUUAUUUUUAAAUUAAUUUUUAAUUUGUUUGUAUUUAAUAUUAAACAAGUCAACACGAUUAAUAAACGGGUCAUAUCCGUAUUUUGAUAUUUCGAUACGAUUAAUGAAUGGGUCAUAUCCAUACUUAACACCAAAAUAGGCCGCCGAUACAAUUUGUUUUAUAUCAUAAUAUCACCUGUAAAAGAUUGACAAGAGAGAAGCCAACUAGCCAAAUUGCACAACAGAACCAAUUAAAAUAUGACUACAUGUAGUCACCUGAGUACGCAGAUCUUCUAGUCCAAGCUUUGCUUGGAGAAUCUUAAGUGUAGUUUGCUCAUGUUGCACACUUAGUGAAUAUGCCUCCAUCAAAGAAAGAGCUAUGGCUAUGGCAUGAUAACUUGCAGCUGUCUGUCACGUGAAGAAAUCAAACAAAAUGCUGAGUUUACAGAAAGAUUUAUAAGUCUAAAGAGCGUGUAUACAUGCGUAAAUAGAGAGAGAAAAAUCUGUAUAUGGUCACCUCCUAAUAGUCUUUGGUUGCAUUUAAUGGCCUCAUGCAAAUAUCUAAGAGAAAGAUGAACAUUUCCCAUGCCCUCUUCCAUCAUAGCCACAUUUAUGUAUGUUGCAGCAGUGUUUGGAUGUGAAAGUCCACAAGUAAAAUGCGAAAGGAAUAAGGCACGAUUUACAUAUCUGCCAAUAGUAUGGUAUGAUCAGGAGCUAGAGCCAAUAAAAGACAAAUAAAAGCUAAAGUAGGUAGAUAAAAACUGCAUUAGUUCAAAGCAGAUUCAAUACAAAGGUCUCAUUUUUCGAAACUUCCAAUUUAAUUUAUGAAUAAAUAAACCUUAAUCAGUUAAAGAAUGAAAACAAAGUUGCUCCGGUAAAUCAAGUAGUGCUACUCACUUAAGAGCCAAUUCAAUGUGUUGAAGGCGAUAAUAGAAAAUUGAAAGAUCCCCGUAGCUUUUCAUUGUAUCUGGGUGGUCGAGACCAAGUUCCCUCUCAUUAAUAUCCAAUGCCUUCUGCUGAUAUAUAGUUGCCUAAAAUGAAGAAGAAGAUAUCUUGAGUACAUACGAACACUACUCUAACACUCAGACGCAGAUGCCAUUAGACGAAAUGCCGGAACAUAAGAAUCAUGAACGUGUUUGAUUUAGUUAAAAUAUAUAAUCUGAUAUCAAAAUUAUGCUAAUGCCUGUACAUGUAAUUCCUAAGUCCAGAAAAUUAUAAUUCCUAAUGCAUAUCUUUAUACAAGACCAUAAAAACUAACCAUAACACACAAAAAUUCAAAUCAAAUGUCCCGAUGAAUGAGAACCUCCGUACAGAAGGACGUUAUAAUUAUACUAGACUUAGAAUCACCAAGUUAACACUGAAAUACAACUGAAGAUUGUCCUACCUGAUUAAAGUCUCCAGUAUAGUAGAGAACUACAGCUAGAAGACUGUAAGCACUUGCAGUAGUCCGAUGGUCGGGACCACAAACAGCUAUCAUCCUUGCCAGUGCCUUACAAUGCAAGUAAUACAUCAUAUGAGAUCAAGAGAUGCCUUAUUAUGAAAAGAAUAAUGUAAUUCUUACGUAUAGAUCGAGUGGGUUAUUACCUUUGUCCCAUAAUUUACAGCAUCUUCUAGUUUUCCUCUAUCAAGGGCAAUUUUGGAUGACUCUAAUAAGGUCCGUCCAUCGGCUGAAGUGCAACCUACAUGCUGUAGAAUGCCAUAAAAGUAGCACAAUUACAUUCAAUUUACAAAUGAGUGACUCAUUGAGAAUGUAAAAACUAAAUCAAAACACAAUUAAGAGAGAAAAUAGUCUCACCUUGCACACAGGAACCAUGCUGACAAUAUCAUCUCUCGUGAAUGGGUUUGGGCAUUCCAUAUAAUAAUCUCUGGGAACCAACACCAACCCAACCUGGGUGAAGUUUACAAGCAAAAUUCAAGCUUUGAAAAUAAUCGGCUGCCAAAGGAACCGAAAAGACAGAACCUUAUAUGGCAAAGCCCACGUAGAAUUGAAAUCUUUCUCAAAUGCUGAAACUCAUCUUUCAGGGACCAACCAAAUCUUCUGCCAAGAAAUGUUCAUAGCCACUGCAAUCUGAGGAUAUGAUCUUCAUUCAAGCUUUGGUCAUCUUCCAUCUCACAACAGCCAAAUAAUAAAUUUAGGGAAGAAGCUAUAGCUGCAGAUAGGUCUGAUAAAUAGUCAACAGAUGCGAUGACUCCUUUAAGUAUAUGCUUGAACGCUCGAGUAACCAUCUCAUGAAUACAAAGUGAUUGUAUGUGAGGAAGCUUCUCUGCAAGUUCAACCUGAAUUUGUAAAUGGGAUUAGAACCAACAGAAGAAGAAUACCAGGCUUUCAAGUAUUAGCAUGUCAAUUUCUCAAAAUAUUGUAUGUCAUACAACAUACAGUAAUAUCUAAAGACGACAAUAAUUCAAUGUCUUGGAAAAGGUCAAAAAUGUCAAAAAUUCUAUCAUGUAGUACAAUUUUCAAAAAGGAACAUUGAUAAUUCAAUCCAGGAAGACUUGGGGGGAUUGUUUACAUAUAGAAAGAUAACUUGGGGGCUUUGUUUACAUAAAGAAAGACAACCUUUGCUUAUUCCGAUUUCCAUGGGUGAAUAGGUUGCAUGUCUGAGAGAGAAAGAGAGGGAGAAAUUCCUCAGCACGCGACCUAAAGAGCGCAUUUGUAGUCCCCUUAAAUGCAUAAAGUCUGUCAGUGUCGGCCAUCAACCGGAGAAAGUUCAAGUGAUCCAAAGUCUGUUACCUAAUAAAGAAUGGAAAUUAGUCCAUAAACCAUCCCCACACGUCUAAAUUGGCUGCAACAAAGGCCCUAAAUAAAUUAAAUAGUACCAGCUUUGGUAAAGCAAUGUCAUCAUAAUACUUGUAUGUCAUUUUCAUAAGCUCAUCCACUGCCUGCACAAUAAAUUAAUUUUACCAGUCAUUCCAUAUGAAAAUAAAACAAACCAAAUUUAGCGUAAUGAAAACACAAAAAGUAGCAAACUUUACAGUUGAAAUGCAAAACAAAUUUGAGAUUCUGAAACCUUUGAAUGAAGACUAGUGCCAGUUUCUUUCAAUCGCAAGAAGGAUUCUUCAGAAAUUAGUUUUUUUCAAUUCCAUCUCACAAUUCAGCUCGCCAUUGCUUUGCUGUCUACCAUUACCUCCCACAUUCACGCUGCACGGUCCAUUGUCAUUUUCGUUAGCCUCAUUAAUGCUACCAAUAAGGUUAGGUCUGUUCUCCCUCUUCUUCAAAAAUUUAAAUUGCUUCCCAAGACCUUUGACAGCAUGUUCAGUCUCAAUAUCAUCCCCAGACCUCGUUGACUUGGUAUCUGUUGGAGUUUCCUACUUUUGUAGAUGCUGCACCCAACAAGAACCAAGUUCCCAUCUAAUAGAUCUUUCUAAAGCAGUUGGCUCCAGCUCUAACUUUGCUAAACUCUGUUUAAUAACUCCUCUUACAAGACUUCUAAAAGCUUCUGAAUUAUCCAUAUUGCACAGAGGUGACUGGUCUCCUCUAGCCGAUUCAGCACUGAAAGACUUCUGAAGCACAAGCCUUAAGCUGUAAUAAAUAGUUUACCCUGUCAGAACAACUUAAAUGGAGAAAGACAUAAGAGUAUAUGAAACAAAGGCAGAAUCCACCAAAGAAGGCCUAAAUACUUUCUGAAAUAGCACAAUCUAAAAAGCUGAUGACCAAUUUCAGCAACUGAGCAUGCACUGUAAUUAUACUUUCCUUUAUCCUUUAUUUGAACAUCAUCAACGAUGUCUGUUGGUUAUUUUGUUAAUAUAACAAUUACAAACCAAUGUCAGGGCACAUAACUAUAAACACUCAACCAUUAUUGUGAAAGCCAUGACUUAAUGUUUCCUGCAACCACUCGUUAUUAUUUAGGUGGUCUACAACUAUGCAGAGGUGAAGCAUCCCCAUACAGUGAAGGAUCUCACACGUAUUUUAAUAGAGGAAAAGCCAUUUUCUAGUCGACAGGAUGCUGAAAGAGGAGUAUAUAUCCCUAACUAGAUAUCAACUUUCUUUUCUUUGGCCUAUUCAUAAACUUAACACUUGAAGAAAACCUGGUUUAGAAAUCUGCAAUCAACUUCCCUUAAGAGUUCAGACAUCUAUUGAUUAGAUCCCAUCUAAACAGAAAGAAAAAGGAGCAUGUGCUAUCCUUUCUUAAGAAUCCCCAACACCACCAUUUCAAUCAUGUUCUAUCUGGUAAAAAUAAAGAGAAUAACAAUGCUCUGCAUCAUGAAUUCAACUGUGCUAGACACUAAGCAAAGAAGCUCAUACCAGUUAGUAUGUCUAAGAUAUCUUGCAGAAUAGCUUAAAACUGUUAGUGGUUGAAAGAUAAUUUUCCAUAUCUUACAGCCAUUCUCCAUCUGUAGAUUUCCUAGUCUUUGUGUGCUAAGAGGAAUCGACAGGGGAAGCAUUGUGUUACAAUUUCAAACCUGUUAAUAUUAAGAGAAUUAGCUCCUCCAUCAGGUUGAUCUUCAAUUUCAAUAUCUUGUGUGCCAAACUUCUCCUUCACAUCACCAACAACCUUUACUACAGCGGUGUAUCCACAGUGUCUUACAAUGACGGUACCCAAUGAGGAGGUAUCCUGCCAAAAACUAUAUUGUUUCAGUUCUCUUUAUCACAAAAUCUUUCAAACUAAAAUAAAAGAAAGAGAAAAAGAAAAGGAAGAUAAAUCUAGAUAUUUCAAGAAAAUUUUAUUUCAAGAUCUACCAUGCUGAAAACUUUAGCAAUUGUAUCACUAGUUGAUAUAAUACAAGCAUGGACAACCAAGGUUAAUAGGCUUCCCCAAAAAGGGUUGAUGACAUUAAGCUGGAGCAAACUACAAGCAGAAAAUCAGAGGGAUAUGGAUAAAAUGAGUAGAAAGACCUGCUAUCAAGUGAUUUCAACAGAAUAGGGAGUCACCAAACAGAAUGGCACAUAAGAUUCAUGAAGCUAAACCAGAUAUAUAAGGUUAGUAACGAGUAGUGAUUCUCAGGAAAGAACCUAAAAUUGACUUUCUUGUGCAUUCAUAAAUGUGUAGAAAGAGAGAAUGAAGAGGAUGGGUAUUUUAGGCCAUCAUCAAAUGCUAGAUAUCAGAUAAAGAGUGAAACAUCUUAAUCCGACUGAAAAAACACUCCCUGACAAAGGUAGAGCUAUAUUUUUCCGCCCACGUAAGUAAUUUCAGCUUUGAUGAAUGUCUUUUAUGUGUGUGGUCUGUGAACGUAAGCAUAAGAAGUAAAGGAGAAAUCGACUUACGUGAACAACUACACUCUCAUCUGCAGUAACACCUUUUAGUAAAUUCCUUUGAGCAACUUCUGCAGCAGACAUACCGGAUGACUGAUUUCCUUUAAUAGUAACCUCAGACUUCAAGCUUGCAUCUACUGUAUCACGUUUUACUGUAAUGGACAAGUCUCCCACACGAUCUUCAUGCAAGAUCCCCUUUGGACAUUGAUUGUAUCUUGAGUGUGUAAAUUUGAAUCAAUGAGACGGCGUAUUGCUCCAACAGCUUUAAAAAUUGAGACAUCAACAAAUUGGUUAUGAAGCAAAAAGGCCUUCCGAUCUCUAACCACCCUCUCCUCUUCAGUUUUGCAAGGAAGCCUAGCCAGUAUAGCAAAUUCCGUCGCCCAUGGUCGUAAAUCAUGUUCUCCAUCUCUUCCCUGGCCUCCGCCAUUGCCACCCCAAUUCUCAUCUUCUGCCGGUAGGCAUGGGAAAUUUGAUGGAGACUCAGCAACAGAUGGAGGUACAAGCCAUGUAUUAGCUCGAAAUCCAUAGGGAAGAUUACCAAACUGAAGAAGGAUAAUGAAUAUACUAUAUCAGUAAAAUCAAGUUAAAAUCACAUUUGAAUUGGUAAUAAACUAUGUCAGCACAGAAAUUGUUACCUUAUUAUGUUCAACAAAAGCUUUCAUUAGGGAUUCAUAUGCCUGCAUCACGCAUAAUGACCAUAAUUAUUAACAAAACAAUUGAUGGGUAAGCUAAUUGAAUUUACAGAGGAAAAAAAGAUGCAUUCAGAUAAAAAAGAAAAAAAUAAUCUGUAGAUUCAACUAUUGAGUACCCACAUUGGCAAAAGCUCGACUGAGAUUUUGCAGAAGAUCCACCAGGGAGUUGCUUCGGAAAAACUGCUUUCCCAAAGUAUAGAACCCUUUUACUGAUGCAACUACUUGUAUAAGCUUUCCAUUGCAGAUUUUUAUCUGUGAAAAUAAUUCAUGCAUUCUUAUUAAUUAGCAGACAAUGAUUAUUAAAUCUUUAACACUCAUUGGCCAAUUCAUCAGCAAAAAUAAUGAGUUGAAUAACUCUACAAUUAAUUAGUCCUUAAACAACAAACAACAAUAAUCAGAACUUUAUAUUAAAUGGCACCUGAAUUUCAAAAUAAUCACCGUCGCGCUUCUCUCCUUCUUUGCGUUCACAUUUUCUCAAAUCUUCAAAAUCAAAAUUAUUAAAAAUUAAAAUCAAUAAACAAAUUUCAUAUUCAAAUAAAUCACAUAUAUUUAUUUCAUUUUCCUCUUUCUUUUUAUUUUUUUUUUGAUCGACCAUGUAAAAAACGAAGACAAAUAAAUAAAUGGACAUUAGGCUUACUCAAGAUGGGGGGAGAGAGGUGAGAGAAAGAGAAGAAGUCAUAAAACUCGGAGGGUUUCGGCGUCGGGUGAAUGGCCACCAUGUCCAGACUCGGAGAAACCGCCGAUGAAACUGGCGAUGACGUGGCGCGGGGCCCGCUUCGGUUAUCUGCUGCUGCUGUUGCUGCUCAAUCAGACAGAGCGGCAGAGUUUGGUGAAGGCGGGUGGGGCCUACUGCCGUUCUUUUUGGCACAUGACUCUGACGGUGGCGGCAAUCGGGAGUUUCUGGACUUGGAGAACCAUGUGGUGCACGCGACGAUGUCAAGAAGCCGCCGCACGUGUGCCACGGCCUGAGAUUCGUCGGUGUAUUCCUCGGGAGAAUUGUGUGGGAUGUACCCCAUUCCCUUCAAAAUACCCAAUAUAUACCUAAAAUUAUAACACUCUUAAAUUUUACACAUAUAUACUCUAAAAAAUUAGAGAAAGUAUAAAAAUAACCACAACUAAAUUCUCUUAAAACUAAACCCAACUCCUCGAAGUCGGGUAAAUAGUUGAGAAUACUCAACUUCAACCAAAUCAUACACAAUUAAUAAUUCAGCAUAAAUUCUCGACUUUUUCAUGUUAGUCGAGUAAAUAGUCGAGAAUACUCGACUUCAAUUGAAAAAAAAAAUUAUCUAAAAAAUUAUUGAUUUUUUUAAGUAAGUUGAGUAAAGAGUCGAGAAUACCCGACUUUAAUUUAACCCUACCCAAUAUUCAUUCAGCAAAAAUUCUUGACUUUUCAUUGAAGUUCGGUAAUUGGUUGAGAAUACUCAACUUAAAUUGAAAUGAAAAUUUUCCUUUUAAUUAAGUUAGGUAAAAGGUCGAGUAUACUCGACUUUGGUUGUGUUAUUAUGUAGAAGUCAUGAGAGAGGAACUAAACGUAAAUAGAUGAUUUUUUUAGGUUAUUUUUUACAUUUUACACUUUUAGGAGGUAUAUGUAUGUAAUGGGGUAUAGAUUUGGCAUUUAAGGACAAAUGGGGUAUAUUUAAAUAAAAAACCCGUAUUCCUCUGCGAAGGACAGUGCCAAAAAUGUAAAUAACAAGGAAUUGCCAGGCAAAGUUUUUUUUCUUUUAUUAUUUUAGUUCUUUCAAUUAAGUGAAAUUAUCAUUUGUAUACCCUUAGUUUACUCCAUUAUCAAAAAUAUUAUAAUAUUUUGAGGGUGUAUCAAUCGUCCACCUUAAGUUGACAAAAUAUAUCAGCUGACCACCAAACUGUUAAUUAGUGUUUAAGUAUGAUGACGUCAGAAGGGUAAUUUAGUCUUUUUAUAUGAUACAAGUGUUAAUUUAAGAGUAUACAAGUGAUAAAAAGAGAAUUUAAGGGUAUACAAGUGAUAAUUUUCAAGGGUAAAAUCAUCAAUUCACUGUAAUUCCAUUAACUUUCAAACGGCAACUAACGGUUUGGUGGUAAACUGAUCCAUUUUGUCAACUAAGGGUGGACGAUUGAUAUCUAUCUUCAUUUCAUUACUUAUAGCUAUAAAUGAAAAAUGUUUUUUUAAUAGAUCUUAGAUUUCAAUGCUUUUGAAGUAUUAUUUAUAUCUAUACAUCAAAACUGGAAAAAAAAAUCUAAAUCUAACUAAUAUGACAUUUAUCUUUCACUCUUCCAUUUAUUAAUCUUGCUACAGGAUUAAUAUGACAUUAAUUCUUGAUACAGAAUUGUUAUGUUGAAACAUGAUAAUUAAAUAUUUGCAUCACUGAUACACCACCUUCCUAAUGAUUUGUUGAUCAAAGUACUUGGACAAAAUUAUAUAUGAAGACCAGUUCGUUUUUCUUUUUCUUUUUUUGUUUUUGUUUUUCUUUGAAUGCUGAGGAAUAAAUUAAAUUUAAGACAAAUUAAUUGUAUUUUAAGACAAUUUAUUAUUUAAGAAGACAAUUAAAAUAUUAUCAAUUUCUCUUUACAUUAUCCAAUAGGUUUAGAGGUUACAGAACCAUUGUCCAGUGAACAACAUCAAGUGAACAAAUUCUUCCUCAGAAAAUUGUAAUGUUAAACAAGAAGGACUUCGGGCUAUGAAGAGCAAAAAGUGUGUGGGCAUUUUUUUUUUCCCCUUUUUCCAGAUUAUUGAAACGCUUUUGCAAUCAACAUCAUAUUAUGAGAAAUAAGUUCACAUUACUCUAUUAUUAUUUGUGCUGACCAAAAUAAUUAGGCAAUUUGAUUUUUGUCUGUUUUUUAAGUCUUGUACUGGAUUUUGAUCGAAUUCGCUAUAAUUAGUUUUCAUUCUAUAAAAUUUUGAUCUUUUAUUUUCAAGUUCAGGAAUAUGUAAUUUGAAGAAUCUUUUUGAGUUGGAUCUAAGCUCAAAUAACUUUGAGGGUCACCUUCCUCAGUGUCUCAACAACUUGACCAAUCUCAAAGUUCUUGAUAUUUCUAAUAAUCAAUUAAGUGGAAACUUUCCUUCUACCUUGACCAACCUCGCAUCACUUGAAUAGUUGUUGAAAUUUCAGAGGCUAAAAACAUCCAAAAGUUGUGAUCUUGAGUUACUGAUGAAUCGGCUUAUUUUUCUUUAGCCUUCCUCUGUUUUCCUUCUCAAUUUCCUUUGCUUUCCUUUAUUCAAAUUCAUUAAGCUUAUUUUUGUAAUUUCAGAGUAGACCAUACUUUUACGAAUAAUUUACCAAACAAAAAUGACAAAAUUAUUUUUGUAAUUUCAUAGUAGACCAUACUUUUGGAAUAUCAGUUAUGAAAUGACGAAUGAAAUCCUCUGUUUUUAGUCUCUCUGUCCUAUUAUCGUUAAUGUUAAAAAUUUCAGUGGCUUAAAACAUCCAAGAGUUGCGUGCAAUUGUCAUAUGAUGUUACUGAUGAAUUAGCUUAUUUUUCUUUGGCUUUCCUCUAUCUUUCUUCGAGUAUUGAUAUUUGAACACUGUCAAGAAGCCACCAAGAUAGAAACACCAGUAGUGUUUAUACUACAAUACCACUAGUUUACUGUAUCUUUCUUUUAUGAGCAAUUGAACUUUUUAUGUAUUAAUUAUAGCCGGUUGCUUUGAAGCGGGGUUUCUGCCUUGUUGUGCAAUUCAUUUGCCAUAUGAAUCUGAAGAAUUUAUUGUUCACUGAGAUCUUAAGACUAUGGAGCGAAGGCCUUAACAGAAUUAGCUCGUUACAUGUGACACGCAGGAUGUCUGUGUUAAUUAUUUUGAUUCACACGGAGGCUAAAAACAUCCAAAAGUUGUGUGCAAAUGUCAUAUGGAGUUACUGAUGAAUCAGCUUAUUUUUCUUUAGCAUUCCCCUCUUUUCCUUUUCAUUUUCUUUUACUUUUCCUUCAUUCAAAUUCUUUCACUGUGCGGCUGUGGUCCUCAAACUCAAUUAUGAUAUUUACUAGUCGUGCGUCGAAUGUGGCUCUGAUUGAUGAUACGAUUGCUUGAUUUUGUUUAUAAACUUGGCUAUUGGUUAACGUCAACACACAUCCUCCAUGUCCAUGGGUUAGUUGACAGAGUACGUCAAUCGAAGGUCGCCUUACAGUGUGCGUGUUUGAUUAUAAUUAUCGUAGAAUAAGUCAAUGAAAUUGCAGAAAGUCUCUAAUCAUUUAAUAAAUCUUUCGUAAAUUUCCUCAUCGCUUCCUAUGUCACAAUGAUAUUGGUGUAGCCAGUGACUUUGAAUAAACUCAUACUGGCGUACAUUAUGGUUUUAGCACUGCCUGGAACUAUAUUAUUCAUCAAUUUUUUUUAUAACAUUAAGACAUCCUCCAUGUCCCACGGGUUAGUUGACAGAAUACGUCAAUCGAAGGUCGCCUUGUAGUGUGCGUGUUUGAUUAUAUGAUUAUAAUUAUACGUCAAUCGAUGGAUGUUCUAAUUCAUGUUUCCAUUGGCUUUCGAAACAAAAAAUCUCAGUUUAUUGUGAAAUAUACAAGCCCUUAUGCACACCGGAUAAUUUUCUAAACAUGUAUAAAAAAUAGUUGAUUAUUGAUUUUCACAAAUUCCAAUAUAUCAAACAUCCUAUUGAAUUAUUAAUUCCAAAGCACUUUUUUAAGUAUCAAUAGUGGAAUAAAUUAUUUGAUAAUUUAAAACCCAAACUUACGCCUAAAUUCUUUAAAUUAUCUCAUUCAACUUUUAUUUUAUUAGUUGACUAUCUCCAUCAAUUUUUGUAAAAAAUAGAAUUGACGACCAUUUGUAUGUUGGCUUUAUUUGAAAGUCCGUCAACAUUUAUUUUCCAUGGAGUAUUAAUGAAGUGUUUUUCCUCAUUGGUCCAGGUCCUACAAGUCUUCGUCAGUCAUUAUAGAGACCAAAACUAAUUAUCUUUAUCUGUGCCAAUCGCCAUAAAGAUUGAUUUUGAAUUAAUAUUAAGAUCGAUUGUCCAGUAACAUUAAGAUUGAUUGAAUCAAUCUUUAAAAAUCAAUCAAACUUCCAAUUAUAAUAAUUGUGACAUUUUUUUCAUAAAUUCGUAAUUUUUGUAUAAAUCGAGCUUUUAUGCUCAUGAUUGGUGAAGCAAUAGAGCGAAAAAUUUGAUCUUGAUAGGAAAUAUUAAUUGAGCAUACAUUGGGUUUCGAUGGAACUAAUCAUUCACAAGUUUUGGUGGUCACUGUGAUUGGCGCUUUAACACAAUGAUUGAAUGCUACAAUACAUAUGUAUUUAUUUAUAAAAUUAAGCCUAUUUAAAUUUCACCUCUACAUAUAUCAUACAUCAUAUAAAAUGUCAUUUGAAUGUAGUCCACGCUUUUAUGAGUAAAUUAUCAAAUAUAUAUGGAAAAUUACUUGAUUAAUUGUUGGCCAUCUAAUAAUAAAAAAAAAUUAACAAAAAUCUAAUAAAAUAAUUUUCUAAACUCACUAAAUAUUUUAGAAUAUUAAUCCUUGAAUAGAUUUUUUAAUAAUUCAGUGCAAACCCAAUCAUACAAUUCAAUAAAAGGUCAAUCAUACUCUUAAAUUACAUAAAUUCUUAGUCAACUUUUAUUUGAUAGUAUUGACCGUCGCCACUAAUUGUUAGUGGAAAAAGAAUUGAUGGUCACUUGUUUGUUGGCUUAAUUUGAAAGUCAGUCAACUUUAAUUUUCCACGUAGUUGUAAUAAUAUAUGCAAAAUUUUUAUUUUCCACGUAGUUGUCAUUUAAAUUGGACCCGUGCAGCUGUCCCAAGUUCAUACGAAAUUUCUGUUUUAGUCAUUUUAGUAGCUUUGAUUCAAAUGCAUGAACACAAGGGGUCACAAGAGCUUCAAAUAACAUUUAUGUGUUUUGUCAUUUCAGACUACGCCACACUAACUAAACAUAGAUGAAGAUUUACGUUGAUUAAUUAUUGAUUCUCUAAUAAAUUAAUUUAAACUUAUCAAACAUCCAAUCAAAUUCUUCUCAAAACACAUUAUUUAAUAGAUUGACUGAUAAUGCAAUGGAAAUUCAAAUAUACGGUUAAAUUAUUUAAAUUCUCUCAGUCAACUUUUAUUUUACUAGUUAUGAUUAUCUCCAUCAAACUAUUGUAAAAAUUUAUAGUUUACAAUCACUUUAUCUAUAUUUUCCACGGGGUAUUAAUGAAGUGCUUUUUCCCGUUGGUCGAAUGUUGCAAAACAUGGAAUGCUUACAAGUCUUCAAACAUGGCGAUGUAUUGGAAAGUCUUAAAAAAGUCUUCAGCCAAUCAAAUUGCAAGACAUGCGAUAAACUUUUAGUAUAAAUUGCUCUGCAAUGGAAAGUUGCUCAUUGCACAUUUAAUUUUAACCAAAUGAAAAGUUGCUCUACAAUGGAAAGUACUUCCUGUAUUAAGUUCUCAUUAAUGUCACUAAUUUGGAUUAUUGUAUUGAUGAAUGAAAUUCAUGGAUACAAAGGAUGCUUGGAAACAGAGAGGACUGCUCUGUUGGAAAUCAAGAGCUUCUUCGUAUCAAUCAGGGAUAUUGGAUAUGAUGACAAAAUUCUUCCUUCAUGGGUUGGUGAGGAUGAUGGAAUGUCGUCUGAUUGUUGUGAUGAUUGGGAGGGAGUUAUGUGCAACGCCACCACACGACGCGUGAUGC